Molecule: long non-coding RNA, 56832 nt
Filed under: Lathyrus oleraceus (garden pea)
Lineage: Eukaryota; Viridiplantae; Streptophyta; Magnoliopsida; Fabales; Fabaceae
Description: Pisum sativum (pea) long non-coding RNA (PSAT_LNC032730)
Source: RNAcentral
UUGAUGCCAAGGUAUCUGCCUCUCCAACCUGAACCAAUCUGCAAUCCGGUCAUUUAACAGACCUCAAACCUGCAGUUUUUGUCUCCAAACAAGCAAAAUAAAGUGCACAUCAGUCCAAUAAUAAUAAUUAAACCAUACUACUAAACCACAACAAUUCAGAGGGUCCUCAGGCAGCAUGAAACAGGCAGCAUGAAACAGCCUGCCCCGACAAUACAGUCACAACAGGAUGGUUCUGAUUUAUUUUAUUAACAUGUUCCUAACUAUCAAAACCAGUUGAGCCCGAGAAUGAUGCAGGGCCCUCCUUCUAAUGCACAUCCAGCUUCCCAAAAGAUGGGACAUGAGGACAACGUACACGGUAGAGCUGGAAAUGACUAUUAUCACAAUUUCAACCAAGAGAUGCUUCUCUACAAAGUGAAUUGAUUACCGGAACACCUCCAUAAGUCGGACCCUGCGACAAGCUCCAUUAGAAUCAAAAUCAUGAAAUCGUACAAAAUCUCAUAAGUCAUUAUCAAAAUAAAAUUUCAAACCUUUGUAGAGUCUCCAUCGUGCUCAACAAGUCAUGAAGAAGUGUGUUGAUGCUAAACGAAGUUUGGCGGACUUCAGAGUUGGAGAUACGGUCUUUGCCAAGCUACAGCCUUAUCAACAACAUUCUGUACCCUUGCAUCAAAAUCAAAUGUUAGAGUUUAGAGAAAUUGCCAACGGUGCCGAUUCAAGUGAUGCAAAGACUUACCAAGGAAGAAACAUCAAAUUAGUCCAGCAAUUCUCAGGCGUUCCUGUUUGUGAGCUCAAACUGUCAAUUAUUGGUGCUACCAAGUGCAUGCCAAGACUAACCCAAACCCACCAUCCUUCAGAAGAAGGAGCGCAUGGUUAAACAAAAGCUAAGUGUUACAAGAUACUUCCUUGCUAAGAGCUUGUAGAACUGCUAUAAUAACAACACGAAGUCAGUUAAUUCCAAAAACGCAAACUUUCAGUGAGUAACUUAUGAGGGUAAAAGUUUUUACCAGCGGUGAAAUUUCGAAAGGAAGAGAAUUGAGACCCGGGACCACCAAGCUAGGAUGAAGACAAAAUCUCCAGGCAUCCUCCGUACGAAGGCUCCACUACACAGCAGAAAACGCAACAGAGGAAAGAGAGGGGUCCUGUAUAAAAGGCGAUUACUAUUCACGAAACCCUAAUUUUUUGAGGAGAGCGGCCACUGUUCACGAAAAGAAGAUCAGCCAAAAAACCCUAGGAACAAUAUUUGGAGACGGAGAGGAGAACACAAAAAACCCUAACGAAAAGAAAGAGGAGAAAUUCACCUUGACGCCGUUUGGACCAAGCUGAUACUGAAGCUAGAGCCGGCGAACGAGCACGCGUCCGAAUUCGAAACGACGGGAGAGAGAGCCUUUUGAAGAAGAACGUUCUAACAUCUGUCGGUGAUCUCUUCGUGAAGAGGUAAGCAUAGGUUUCAUUCUGGCUUUGGUUUUACUUUCUUCUGAAUUUCUACUUCAUCAUCGCCCUCACUGUGUAUGUUGUUGGAUUUUUUUUACUCGUGUCUGUUUCUUCACGUUCAAAUCACUUCCCUGAUUCUCCUUGGGACCAUUUGUUUCUACUUGAGGGAAGGAGGCGAUUUUUGGUUUUGGUCAAUGUUUCUUUGUUUUUAAAACGUUACUUUUAAUUAAUCUUGAAUGUAAUUGAAAACCCAUUGUUGGAAAAUACAUCGCGUGGUUAAAGUGGUUGAAGACCUUUCAUUUCACCUUCCCUCCAUUGAUUGCGCUGACAGCUAGCAGUAAGGGUCUUCACUGUUGGGCUUCUCCUAUUCAUUUGGGGCCACUCUUGGAGUGGGCCUCCUUCGACCCAAGCCCAAAUGCUCGGCCCAUGCUGGCCUUUUGUUAUUUGUUUAUUAUUUUAUUUAUUUAUUUAUUUUAUUUCGUUGUUUAUAUAUUUGGGCCACUGCAAAUCUAGCAGUAAACAGGUCUUGGCCUGGUGGAGAUCGAGAUAAUCCACCUUCUCUUUGAUCCUGGGUUCGAUACUCAGUUGUGUUGUGUUGGUUCUCCAAUAUUUUGACUGUCUCAUAUUCUCCUUUAAUUGUCACAUUUAAUUGUUUAUUCAUUUUUUAUUAUGUUAUUUUUAAUAUGACUUAGGUGAUUAUUAUUUUCCUUUAAUUCUCACAAUUAAUUAUCUAGUCUUACUACUUAACUAACAUGUUUCUAUUGUUUAUUCAUUUUUUUUAUUAUUAUGAUUAUUUUUAAUAUGACUUAGGUGAUUAUUCUUUCUUUGGGAUUUAUGUGAAUUAUUAUACUCGUGCUUGCUACUUCGUUCGUACAAAUUAUUUAUUUUUAUGUGUGAGGUAUGUUUCAAUCAUGAUAAAUCAUCUCAAUUUCAUUGAUAAAAAGAAAAACCAUUCAAAAAAUAAUAAUGAUAAAUAUCACCUAAUUCUCGAUUCGACGUCGAGCCCAUUUCCAUACCCUUGUAAGUCGAUUGCUUUUAAGCAUCGCCAUCAACCUCACAUGGCUUACUCUUGGGCCUUCUUACAAUGAGCUCUUAAGCAACAUCAACUUAACUUUCAAUAAUUUCAAACCUCCGUACUUGAUUAUUUUAAUCCAAAUUCAAACCCUUUUCUAAAGCGUGAAGAAAAAGAUUAUCCUGGAGGGAAUAUCCAGUUAUAAUCCCGAAUAUUAGGCUCAAGCUGUAAGAGCUUGCAAGCCAUAAAUAUUCGUCUUCCCUUCCACACUCUAAUAUUCAAAUCCUUUUCUAAAACAUGAAGAAAAAGAUUAUCAUGGAGGGAAUAUCCAGUUAUAAUCCCGAAUAUUAGGCUCAAGCUGUAAGAGCUUGCAAGCCGUUAAUAUUCGUCUUCUCUUUAACACUCCAAUAUUCAAAUCGUUUCCUAAAUAAAACGUGAAGAAAAAGAUUAUCCUGGAGGGAAUAUCCAGUCAUAAUCCCGAAUAUUAGGCUCAAGCUGUAAGAGCUUGCAAGCCGUAAAUAUUCGUCUUCUCUUUAACACUCCAAAUAUCCUAAUCUUUUUCUUAAUAAAGUUGGAAGAAAAAGAUUACCUGGAUGGAAUAUCCAGUCGUAAUCCCGAAUAUUAGGCUCAAGCUGUAAGAGCUUGUAAGCCAUAAAUAUUCGUCUUCCCUCCAAAACAUCCCAUCGCUCUAAAAUUGUCAAUGCGGUUUCUUCAAACCCUUUUCUCAAUCAAACCUAAAAAUACUUAAUCUUUAUUAAAUAAUUUUGCCAAUGAAGAUGGAAAUGGAACAUGGUGUAAUACCGUGCACUCCUGAGCGCUAAGGAUUCGAAGAAUAUUCUCGCUCAUCCCAGAGUUCUCGCCAUCACUCAAAAAUACAUCCAACCAGUCAAACUCUUUUUCGCCGCCGUGCGACCUAAUCAAAAAAACCUUUUCAUAAACGAAAGGUAUCUUGUCUUAAGUGAUACAAAAACAAUGUUUCGGCUGUUGGUGGAAGCCCUAGAGGCCAAUACAUUUUCGGUACUUGUAUCGAAUAAUAAAAGGCAUUCUCUUUAUUAUGGUUGACUAAUAAAGUCCCUGGAAUAGAUAGUCCGUUUAAUGUAUUAAGUGUGACUUUAUCAUGAGAACACAUUAAACAUAAGGACACUAUUUCCUAAAGUAUCCGUAGUCGAGCUUAGUGUGAAGUGGGAUAACAUUAAAGCAUUAAGACUAUUAUGUUUGUAGACUGAUGAUCACAUCUCAUGGAUCAUGGAUUAAAGAGUUAUCAAGUCUCUAAACCAUAGGUAUGAAUAUUAGAGUAAUAUUUAUACCGGAUUGACCCGCUAUGAGAAUACUUAUAGAACGUUAUGCAAAUGUCAUAAGUUAAUUCUCAUGGUGAUAUAGUGUAUUCCACUCUUCGACCUGAAACCACUAUGGAUCCUAGGUGUGGAGUCGAGUGCUUUAUUGCUGACAACGUUGUCCGUAACUGGAUAACAUAAAGACAGUUGAUGGGUACUCCACGAAGCAUGCUGAGGGACAUGAGUGACCUAGAUGGAAUAUUGCCCAUCCUGCAUAACAGGAUAAAUGUCUAUGGGCCCAAUAUUGAACUGGACAAGGAUGACACGGUCUAUGCCUUGUGUUCAAUAUAGACAUAAGGGCAAAAAGGUAAUUAUACACAUAAGUAUUAUCACAGAAGGAAUUGUGCAGAUCACAUGACAUUUUCGUGUCUUGGAUGCAGUUGAUGUGCUGCUAGAUACGCUCACUGUUAUUAUGUUAAAUACAUAUUUAAUAUAAUUGCCAACGCCGCGAAACCUACAGGGCUCACCACACAAGGACGGAUUGAUGAGAGAUUAGAGUACUAAGGAAUAUCGUAAGGUACGGUGCCCUUAAGUGGAUUAUAGAACAUCGUAGGUACGGUGUACUUGAGUAGAAUACGAAAUAUGGUAAGGUAGCAUGGCUUAAGUGAUUUUGGCAUAUAUAAGAUCAUGGGCCAAAAUACACUUAAGUGGGCUUUUAGCUUGAAGCCCACACAAGUGUUCUAUAAAUAGAACCCCUUGUGCAGAAGCACUAAGUGCGUGCAUUCUUUCGUUUUUCUUCUCUCUCUCGCUCCUUACUCAAAGCCUUCAUUCGUUACAGCUUAGCACUGAGAUUGAAGGAAACCGUUCGGUGGACUGAGUAGAGACGUUGUCAUCGUUCAACGUUUCGCUGAUCGUUUCGUGGAUCUGCCAUCAAAGGGUUUUUGAUGCGUUGCAAGAGAAUCUGCACAAAGGUUCAACCGUCACAAGAGGUAAUAUUCUAUCACUGAUCAUGACCAUUCGUAAGGAUCUCUAAGAGGAGAAAUUCUUUAAUUUCCGCGUGCCGCUAUUCAGGUCGCGAAUUCUCCUUCAUCGGCCACAAUUGUGUAGUCCCGAUAGUGCGCUUUCGAAUGUAAUUUAUAAUCCGUUCGAUGUGUGGGUAUGCGGUCCUACUCCUCUCUGUUUGGGUAAAACGAGUGUUUGUCGAUUAAUACAAUAUAGCUCUUCGCUUAAAUCGACCAACAAACAACCAAUUUUCUACCCAGACUACGUAAGCCUUCGAUUUCUUCUUUUGAGAUACGUGAGCGAGCAGGUUUUUAAAUCGUUGUCAGCGCCCCUCAAUAAAAACUUCGGUUUAGUCCUUCGUCAAAAAUCCAAAAAACCAUUCUCGUUCUCAUCCUUUCUUUCUUCCCACCUAAUAUCUGAAAAGCCUAACCAUUUCAACUAACACUAACGCAGACACUACCUAAUGGUUCCCGUUGAGUUCACAACGUCGUGAGGGGUGCCUAAUACCUNNNNNNNNNNNNNNNNNNNNNNNNNNNNNNNNNNNNNNNNNNNNNNNNNNNNNNNNNNNNNNNNNNNNNNNNNNNNNNNNNNNNNNNNNNNNNNNNNNNNNNNNNNNNNNNNNNNNNNNNNNNNNNNNNNNNNNNNNNNNNNNNNNNNNNNNNNNNNNNNNNNNNNNNNNNNNNNNNNNNNNNNNNNNNNNNNNNNNNNNNNNNNNNNNNNNNNNNNNNNNNNNNNNNNNNNNNNNNNNNNNNNNNNNNNNNNNNNNNNNNNNNNNNNNNNNNNNNNNNNNNNNNNNNNNNNNNNNNNNNNNNNNNNNNNNNNNNNNNNNNNNNNNNNNNNNNNNNNNNNNNNNNNNNNNNNNNNNNNNNNNNNNNNNNNNNNNNNNNNNNNNNNNNNNNNNNNNNNNNNNNNNNNNNNNNNNNNNNNNNNNNNNNNNNNNNNNNNNNNNNNNNNNNNNNNNNNNNNNNNNNNNNNNNNNNNNNNNNNNNNNNNNNNNNNNNNNNNNNNNNNNNNNNNNNNNNNNNNNNNNNNNNNNNNNNNNNNNNNNNNNNNNNNNNNNNNNNNNNNNNNNNNNNNNNNNNNNNNNNNNNNNNNNNNNNNNNNNNNNNNNNNNNNNNNNNNNNNNNNNNNNNNNNNAUUUCAACUAACACUAACGCACACAACUAACCUAAUGGUUCCCGUUGAGUACAACGGACGUGAGGGGUGCUAAUACCUUCCCCUUGCGUAAUCGACUCCCGAACCCUGAUAUUGGUUGCGAUGACCAUAUCUUAUCCUUUCUUUUAGGGGUUUUAUCGAUAUUUUCCCUUUCCCAUUUUUGGGAAUAAGUAAAGUUCGGUGGCGAGUCUGUUCAGUCCAUCAUUGCGAGCGUGCGAUCGCGCUUCGCUUAAAGUCGUAUCCCCAUUUUUUCGAGGUGCGACAGACUCCAACUGCAACUCUUCAUGCUUAUUUCUUAAAGCAUGGAAACUCUCUUCCCACAUGUCCUUUUCUUGCUUCAUCUUGAUGAGCGCGUCUUCCAACUCCUCUACAUCUUGGUUAGGGAGAGUUAAUGGGUCAACCACAACCAUAGACAUAGGUCUUUCACAAGGAUAAGGCAUCUUCAACUCCAUAGCUCUCUUCUUCACCCAAAGAGUGUAAGUUUCCAAAGCUACACAAUUGCGCGGACCAAGCUCGGAUCUUCCUUUCCUACGCACAUUAUGCCAAGCAUGCACAACCUUUUGCUUCAAAUGUUGGGGAUCUUUACCCUCUUGAUAGAAAAGAACUUCUAUGAAUCUGGAAAUAUAAUUCAAGCGGCCGAGAAAACCUCUGACUUGCUUCUCAGUUUUGUGCGCAGGCAUCUCUUGUAUUGCUUUGACCUUAGCAGGAUCAACUUCAAUACCCUUCUCGCUGACAAUAAAGCCCAACAACUUACCAGAACGAACACUAAAAGUAUACUUAUUGGGAUUCAAGCAGAGUUUAUACUUCCUUAAACGCUGGAAUAGCUUCAACAAAUGCUCAACAUGUUCCUCUUCAUUAAUUGAUUUAGCAAUCAUGUCAUCGACAUAAACUUCAAUCUCUUUAUGCAUCAUAUCAUGAAAUAGAGUGGUCAUUGCUCUCUGUAGUGGGGUAUUCGUUACCAUUAGAGAUGUUGACUAAAUCCAAGGUAAGCCAUACAAGUCGAGUCACCACCGCACUUCUAUUUAUCUAAAGGAAUGGUUAGAAAGAGAACAAAAACCUAAAAGUUUUAUCGAAUCAAAAACUAGUAAAAAUGUCAGAGAUCGGGGUAAGGGGGUUGGUUAUGCAAUGGGAAGGUUUUAAGCACCCAAAACAUCCAAAAGGAAUGGUUAGAAAGAGAACAAAAACCUAAAAGUUUUAUCGAAUCAAAAACUAGUAAAAAUGUCAGAGAUCGGGGUAAGGGGGUUGGUUAUGCAAUGGGAAGGUUUUAAGCACCCAAAACAUCCUAGGUACUCCAAUCAUUGAAGCAAAGUCUUACCACAAGUCGUAUCACAGUGAUAUUGGGAACUUCAUUCCAAAGUCUUACCACAAUCAUUGAAGCAAGUGUAGCAAGAGCAUCUGCCAUCCGAUUCUCAUCUCGAUGUAUUUGCAGUGGAGGGAAGAAGAAGAAUGGCUAAAUUCCUAAUCAUACAAGAGAUGAGGGAUAAGAAACAAGACCACAAACGGAGUUCCUCUCUUGAGAUCAUAUUGAUGAUCCAAGUAGCUCCCAUCCUUAAGAAUAUGCAAGCAAAAUAAUUGGUAAGCUCAAGCAAUCAACAUAAUCAAAGAAGAUCUUAGAAGAUCCCCCAAUGUCUCUUGUAUCUUUCACUUUGGAUGAACAUGGCAAUGAUUCUUCAAUUUGAUCUCUCAUAGGAUCCCCUAGCACAAAAGCACACACAUCAAAGAGUUUUAUGAAGCAAAUCAAGAAUGGACAAGAGUGAGUUUAUAGACUUGGUUCUUCUAAUCCAUCUUCAACAUUACGGUCCUUUUACUCCAAUUUGCAUAGGGAAUGUCCUAGAAACUAAGUCCAUUUGUCCAUUUCUUUGCAUUUGGUCCACAACAAACAAAACAAAACACAAGCACAAUAAUAUAUACAAAAUUAUGUGCUCAAGUGAGCAAAAGGCAAAUUGCAUUAACAUAAACAUGUGCUCAAAUGAGCAAAGGAAAAAGCAAAUGAAUAAUAUGUACAAGAAUAGUAAAUUGCAUAAAUGUAAAGAGCAAGAAAUUGCAUUAACAUAAACAUGUGCUCAAAUGAGCAAAGGAAAAAGCAAAUGAAUAAUAUGUACAAGAAUAGUAAAUUGCAUAAAUGUAAAGAGCAAGAAUUAAAUGUUAAUAGUUAAUGGUUAGUGUUAAUAGUUAGUGUGCUAUAAGGCAAAUUUAGCGCUAUGUUAAGCAUUCGUAAUUGGACUUAUGUAGAAGUCACAACUAUCUGAGGCCGGUCAAUAAUAAUGUAGGCAUCAAUACAAGUUAGAGGUCUUGAUUGGUGAAUCAAACUCCAUCAACUUGCCAUGCCAAAAAGAAGGUGAGAAAUGAUCUUGUAUUGAUUUAGGUUCUUUGCAUGAUUUAGGAAGCAAUCUAUCCUUAAUGCAAAUCCAUUCACUUGAUCCAUGCUCAAGAUGAAUUAGAUUUGAAUCAAGGAAGAUUAAACCUCCAUGUAUCAAUGCUAACCACCAAUCUUUAACUCAUUGAUCAAAAAAAGAAAAAGAAGAAGAAGAAGAAGAAGAUGAAGAAUUAAAGUGAAAGGAAGAUUAAACCUCCAUGUAUCAAUGCUAACCACCAAUCUUUAACUCAUUGAUCAAAAAAAGAAAAAGAAGAAGAAGAAGAAGAAGAUGAAGAAUUAAAGUGCAUUAAUGGAAAUGGUAUGUAUAAUCAAUAAUCAUUUACCAAAGAUAAAGAAGAUCAAGGUCAAACAAUAGAAAACAGAAGCAAGAUGAAGAUUAGAAGUCAAGAAACAAAUAAAAUAUUUUUGGCAUUUUUUAAUAUUAAAAUAAAACUUGAAUUCAAAUAAUAAAGAAAGGUCAAACUUCAAAUUCACUUCAAAUCAACUUUGAAAAGCCCAAGUGAAUUAUCCCAAGUUCAACAAGGUCAAACAAAGUUUGACAAAAAAUUUCAGCAUUUUUAGAAGUCAGAAGCUAUUUUAAAUCAAUUAAAAAUGCAUAAAAAUGACCUAAUUGAACUAAAAUCUCAAAUGAAUCUCAAAUCAUUUAAUAAAUUGAUAAGAAUAUUUUUCAUAGAUCUAUCAUUAUUCAAAGAGGUUGGAAAAAUAUUUUUGGAUUUUUUGGAUAUCAAAAACUAUUUUAAAUGAAUUAAAAAUAGGGUAAUGCUAACUUGUGCCCUAGGGGCACAAGAUAAGACACCCACUUAUAGAAAUUUUGUAUUGAAAAAAUCAAUUAUAAAAUUAAUUUUAUACCUUGUAUUAAAAUCAAUGCACAAUUUCCAACAUAAAAUUACUUUCUUUAGUUCUUAUCUUGUGCCCCUAGGGCACAAGUUAGCAUUACCCUUAAAAAUAAGCAGAAAAGAGAAAAUUACUAAAAAAUAUAAAAUGAUAAAAUAAAAAAUAUUAAAAAAUAUUUUUAGAAAGUACAAAUUAAAAGGAGAAAAAUGAAAUUGGUCCCAUAGUUUUUGGACCAAUUAUGAGAGAGAUAUGAACUUUAGAAAUAAAAUGGAAUUAAAAGAAAUAAAAGAAAAUAAAAAUCAGAAAUUAAAAAAAGGAAAAAGCGUGAGCCAUUGGAUCUGAGCUCAUUAAUUGAGUCGGCAGAUCAAAGAGUCCACACGCGCGCGCCUACCAUGCUCCUUAGUCAAUGCAUCACAUGUGGCAUUAUGGAAAGUCAUAACAUGGCACAGUUAAGAUUCAAUCUGGAAACUAAAAUGGAAGGCUCUGAUUGAAUCUAGAGAACAGAAGGUGGCCAGCGCCACCGUCUUCUCCGGCCAGCUCCGGUGAGGUUCAAAAAUUGCAGAGGAAAAAAUGGCAACCAAAAUGCACGAUCCAGGCAUCAUUCGAAAGCUGGGGUGAUGUACAUCACCCCUGUACCACUCAAUUCCAUUCUAGAUCUCUAGAUUGAGAGAAACCAGAAGUGGAAAUUCUGUGGUGUUCAUGUGAACUUCAUGAUUUUCAAAAAUUGAAAGCAUAGCAAUGUUGCCUCUAUGCAGAGGACUUCAGAUUACAUAAUAACAAAGCAAAUGGAACACUAUACAAGCUGGUUCGAAGCGAAUAACAGUUGAAGUUAACCUUUGAAUUGCAAGGAUUUGAGUCAAGAUCUUUGGAUUCUUUUGCAAACAGUAGGCACUAUGGAUCAAGAAGAGAAGGUUUAGGAACUUUGAGAUCUGAAGAUUGAUCAAUGAAAUCAAAAUUCAGAUCUGAAAAAUUGGAAGAGAAAUGAAAUAGUUCCUUUAGUGAUGGCUAGGGUUUCAAUUCAGCAGCAAUUGGGGCGCCUUCAGGUUGCUAAAAUGAAAGGCCAAGGCAAUGUAUUUAUAGCUGAAGCAAUGCUGAAUGCAUGAAUUAAAAUUUGCAUGAAUGGAAAGGGCCUCCAUGCAUGGGCCUGUACAGGUGCAUGAAGGACCCAAUUCCACUUGGAAAUGGAAGCUUAUGCAUGAUGUAAGUAUAAUGGACAUACAUAUUGGAUUGUAUGAGCUCAUGCAUGGCAAUUGAAAUGAUUUUCACAAAAUGCACUAUUACAUUCAAGUCUUCGAAAAUGCCAUGUCCAAAAUUGAAAUGCAACCUUAUGAGUAAUGGUUGGAAUCUUUAUUGAAUAAGGAACAAUGUUAUGUUGAUCAAAACUCCAUUUGGGCCUUGGAAUUAGUGAAAAUUGAACUUGAUGUAGGGUGCAAAACAUGCAUAUGUGGAAUUUUCAAAAUUGGCCAAAGUUCAAGCCUCCUGUCUCAGUGAUGCAGCUCCAAAUGACAAAAUAUUCAUAAGAAAGUUGUAGAUCUUAUCAAGGAAAAAUUUGACUUAAUUUUGCAUCAUUUGGAUUUUUGAUGAAGAAGUUAUGGGCACUUGAAGUUGGACUUUUUCACAUUUCAAUGCAUUUGGUCCAAAGUGACCUAUAAUGUUUUGCAUUAUCACAUGUAUUUCUUUUGAGAUUUUGCGAUUUUGCUCAACAUAACAUUUGAAGUAGGCAUUCUAAUAUUUCCAAUGAAUUUAAUCCCACCUCCAAAUCAUGAAAAAUUAAUGAGUUAUUUUCUUGGGGAAGUUGACCCAAAAUUAGGGUUUCAGUCAAAAUGACCUAUAAUGUAUUGGAAUGGAUGAUGACCUUCCAAGCUUCAAAUAAAUUUUUGAUGAACAUGAACGUUGUUCAUAUGGUCCUUAAGAACAUUUUUUCUUUUGGGGUCAUCUCCAUUUGUCAAACACAUAAAAAGUUAGGUCUCAGUGUAUUUCAGAAUAGUCAGAUGAAUUGACUGAUCGGCUUCUCAAGUCCAAUAAUCAUAUCUUGAUGAAUUGAUGAUUGAGGACACUCAAAUAAGUUCAAAUAUGCAUUAAAUGAUGAAUUAAAGAACUUCCUUUGAUUUCAUUUGACCAUGGGUUGAGGUUGCUUCAUGAGCAAGGCAUAGUUGAUGAACAAAUGAAUUAGGGUUCCCUUGGGAAACAAGCCUCAAACCCUUUGAUUUGCUUUGAUCAAAAUGAUGAAUGGAGAUACUUGGGAGGCAUAUUUGAUGGAUGAGAGAUUUGGGAACCAUUGCCAUGCUUUCCUUCAUCUUCAAUUGGCCCUAUCAAUGCAUAUAGGAUCUCCUAGAGGCUUUUAGACCUUGUGACUGCUCAAGCUACAAACAAGAGAUGUUAGUGACAUAUUUUUGUGCUUUUGGUUAGUAGAUAAAAAUGAGAAAAGCAAUGAUAUAUAAUUCAAGCAUGCCUGGUGAUCUCAAACCAACUCACAAGAGGUCCCACCCAAAAGUAAGGAGCCAAGAUGCUUAUGAUCCUUGAGGCCAUGUAAGUGCCAUGUUAUGAUGCCAUGAGGGAUCUUAGGAUCAAAAAUUAGGGUCUUACACUCUCUAGUAAGUUACACCUGCAUUCUUUAGACCGAAAGGCAUCACUCUAUAACAGAAUGUUCCCCAGGGUGUAAUGAAUAUGGUCUUCUCCAUAUCUUCGGGUGCCAUCUUAAUCUGAUUAUAUCCGGAAAAUCCAUCCAUAAACGAAAAGACUUUGAUAUUAGCAGUAUUGUCUACCAACAUAUCAAUGUGUGGCAGAGGGAAAUUAUCUUUCGGACUUGCUUUAUUUAAAUCUCUAUAGUCAACACACAUGCGGACUUUUCCAUCUUUCUUUGGCACAGGCACGAUAUUGUCCACCCAUUGCGGAUACUCAGCUGUCACAAGGAAACCGAUAUCAAUCUGCUUCUGCACUUCCUCUUUGAUCUUCACAACCAUAUCAGGAUGCGUUCUUCUCAACUUCUGCUUGACUGGCAGACAUUCUUACUUCAACGGAAAUCUAUGCUCCACAAUCUCAUAAUCCAAACUAGGCAUGUCUUUAUAGGACAAAGCAAACACAUAUGAAUAUUCUCGGAGAAGAUCAAUCAACCCCUUCUUAGCAUCUGGACACAUUCGAGACCCAAUCUUGACUUCCUUCACAUCAUCUUCGGAACCCAAGUUGACUAGCUCAAUCUGCUCUUCUAACGGCUGAAUAAUCUUUUCAUCUUGCUCAAGAAGACGAGACAAUUUAUCACUCACUUCUACAUCGCUUUCCUCCUCGGCCUCAAACACAGGGAAUUCAAAAUAUGGAGUAGGAGAAGGAUCAUUGUAUUCAAUGGGGUUAGGAACCAACCUGCAUAAUGAUUUGAUAUUUUGAUUUUAGAGAAGUGAAUCUGUGACCAAAUAUCAUGCAGAUGGACAGUUAUAUUGUGUAUUUAUGUUUUUUGCGAUUACCAUUUUCAGAAUAAAGCAAAAAGUAAAAAUAAACAUCAAAGAUGUUGAUGAAUAGAAUUAAUUUUAUUGAUGAUCAAUCUAAAAUUCCCAUACAAUGUUCACUUCUCCCUUAGGCAUAGGAGAAGGAUUUUAAAAUAUAAAAGCAAUUACUUAGAUCGAUGCAAAACAACAGGAAUAUCAACGGCAGUCCAGUUGUUGCAUGUCUUUCCAUGCGUUACAAAGUUGGUGUAGUCUUCCUCUUCGCUAUCCUCUAGCAUAGAAGCUAAGUGUUGUUCAUUGCCAUGAAUGAACCCUCAUCUACAGAAGCUGAGUUGUAUAUUUUCAGAUCUUGUAGUUGAUGAGCCUUUCUGGAACCCCAAACCAGUUCUGCCUUUGUUGUCAGAGACCUCUACCAUGCGCUGUAACACCCCGAAUUAAAUAAGAGGAUUAUUUAAUUAAGUUAAUAAUAUAUUUAAUAAUUUAAUUAAAUAAAUUGAAUUAUUGGAUUAUUAUUAAUAUUAUUAUUAUUGGAAUAUAAUUAAUAGUGGAAAAUAUAAUAGUUGGAAUGAAAAAAGGGUUCAUUGUUGGUAAGAGAGUUCACGUGAAACAGGAAAGCGGCUGAAAGGUGAAAGGGAAAAGAGCAAAGGGUUGAAGAACGGAAACUUGAAGCUUAGAGAUUGCCGAUUAUCUCAGUAAGGGGGUUUAUGUCGUUUAAUGGUAUUAUAGAUUAACAUGUCAUGGGUAGUGAUAGCGGUGAAUUGACCCUAUUGGGAAUUUAGAAUGCUGAGAAAAUUGUAUGAUUAAGUUAUGAAAACUGAAAUUGAAUCGAUAAUUGUAUGUCGUGAUUUCGAUAAUGUAGCUGUUUACGGAGAUUGAAUCGGAGGUCCGGAAGUCCUCCAACGGCGGAAAUAGCGGAGACCCUGCAUUCGCCUGUGUAGCAGGACUGACUGUUUGCCUGCGUUAACCGGUACCCAGGGUGUUAACCGGUUAACACUGUUAUAUUUUGUGGAAAUGUGCUGUUUUGCCUGUUAACCGUAACCCAGGGUUAACCGGUUAACACGUGCGUUUUGCCAGAAAAAUUUUUCCUGCGUUAACCGGUUAACCCAGGGCGUUAACCGGUUAACACUGUUAGGAAAUGGAAAAUCUUGAAUUUUAAAGUGUGAAUAUAAUGCGUUGGCCUACGUUAAUUCUGAGAGUAAUUUGUUGAGAUGUAAUAGAAGUGUUGAUACAAAUAUGUUGAUAAGUGUGUUAAAGUGUUUGAAAAUGAGUAUGUAGGCUUGUGACCAAAGUUGAUUUUAAGUUGAUUUUGUUGGAAGUUGUUGUGUGAUAUUAAUUAGUUGUCGACAGUUUAGAGUCUGUAUGGCCAUGUACAUUCAUAUGCAUUAAGUUCGGAGCUGCUCACACACGUGGCCGGAUUGGCAAAUUUUAAUUGAAAGUUGAAGGUUAUGCUUGAUGCCCACUAAAAUGGCAAUGAUUUUUAAGUGGCAGUUACUCCGAAUGUACCACAUGCAUGACGAGUCGAGUCUCAUUUGAGUUGCAUUUAUUGUUGUUCUUGAUAAUAAUAUUGAGUGAUACUGCCGUUGCGUAGUAUGUGUAAUCUGAUUUGGGUGAUGAAACGUGUUAAAUUACUUAGCAUUACAUGAUGAAUUAUAAGGCUAUUAUAUUGAUGUGAAAGACUCCACCUUACAGUUUAUUUCAGGAACGGCAAUGAGUCGAGUAGAAGCUAAUGCUUGGAGUCUAGUGUAGUGCUUUAGUGGGUCAUGCUCUGAUAGAUGUACAAUCGGGACGGGACGUUUUAAUUAUUUUGUGUCGGUAUGUUGUAAUAUCUGACAUAAUUCGUUAAGUCUCCAUCGCUGCGUAUUUUGAAAUGUCUUAUGGUUGAUAUAAAAGAGCAGUGACAGAUGUUUUUCGAAGAUGGGACACCCUGUUUUGUAUUACAUCUGAUAUAUAUAUAUAUAAUACUUGUGUUGUUAUUAAAUAUUUGGGGUAUUUUAGAAGGGUGUUACAUUAGUGUACAGAGCAAGGUCGGUCUGCGCCAGUUGUCGUGUCGUUACUGUCUAACAAUUGUGUAAUGUUACUAGUCUAAUUUAAGUUGGUUGUAUGAUAAGUUGUGAAAGGCUGAAGGCAAUGAGCCUGCAGAUGCUGCCGAAGCAAGCAUGCACAAGCGGUGCAGAACUUGCCAAAUGCUGGUGGGGAUGCUGGAUCACGUAGCUUGGCGACUUUUCAAAGGAGAGUCCGCCGGUGUUAAAGGGAAGCAUGAUCCGAUAGCAGCCUUGGGAUGGUUAAAGAAAUGGAGAGGAUCUUCCGGUUAAUGCAUGCACCCAGCUCCAGAAGUGCGGUAUGGUACUCACAUGCCAGCAGUCGAAGCUGAUGAUGGGGCAGAGACUCACGAGAAGUUGACAGUGGCAGUGAAGACUAUACUAUGGAUCAGUAUUCCGUAGGGAAUCCUGAAGAAAGUAUUAUCCGAAGAAAUGUCCGUGGUAAGAAGAAAUCGAGUUCCUUGAGUGAACAAGGAAACAUGUCUGUCAUGAUAGCUGCAAAUUUGUGAAGCUGUCCAAAUUUAUCCUCAUUACACUGGUCUGGUGCUGAAUUUCAAAGUGCCACAAGUUUGAGAACGGAUUGCGCUCUGAAAUAAGAAGGCUGUUGGUAUAGAAGAUACGCAUUUUUACUGAAUUGGUUGAUAGCUGCAGGAUAUUUGAGGAAGACAAUAAGCCUCAUUACAAGGUUGUCAGUGCCGCAAGGGAAAGCAGCAUCAAAACGUGGCAAGCCGUAAGAUCCCAGUGGGAAAAGGGAAACAAGGAGCUGCUCCGGCUCAGAGAACUAGUAGGGGAGGUCUCCUGCGGUAUAGUUGCUUCAAAAUGUGUCAGGCUGGUCAUAAGACUAAUGGUAUGCACUGCUGAAGAAAGAGGUGUUUCUCGCUGUGUAAGACAUGUCAUCGCAUAGCUGAUUGCAAGCCACAGGAAAUGAUUGUUUUAAUUGGGCGAAGAAGGCAUAUUGGAAGUCAGUGCAGAAGCCAAAGGAAUCUCAGACUGGGAAGGUGUUCGCAUUGACCGGAACUCAAACCUCCUGUGAGACAGACUAUCCGAGGUACAGUCCUCAUAAAUGGUACUCUUUAUACUAUUAUUGAUACGGUGCUACCACUGUUUUAUUUCUGCUAACUGUGCUCGAAGACUGGUUUAAAAUGUCCCUUGGACGGUGAAUUGAUUGUUGAGACCCCAGCUAAGGAUCAGUAACUAAACUUCUUGGUAUGUUAAAAUGCUUUGUCGAGCUCGAUAAAGAUUUCUGUGAUUUAGUAUGCUUGCAGUUGGAAGGAUGGAUGUAAUUCUGUAUGAACUGGUUAGAGUGAUUAUGUUCAUAUAAAAUGUCAUCAAAAUCGUGAAAGUUUUCCACUCUGUAAGGAAGGACAUUGACUUAUGCCUUCAGAGAAAUUGCGAAAAUUGUGAAAGAAGGAGCUCAGAUUGUUCCUGAUGGCGACGUUGUCGGUUGAAAGUAAAGCUAAGAUAGAGAACUGUUUAGUGGUGAAAGAAUUCCCUGAAGUUUUCCUGAUGAAAAUUCCCUAAGUGUGCCGCAGAGAGAGGGAAAGUUGAAUUUAAUAUCGAUCUGGUACUGGGUACUAGGCAGUUUCGAUGGCAGAGUAUAGAGAAUGUCGCAUCUGAAUUUGUUAUGAAUAAAGAAGCAAUUGGAAGACUUACUUAGAAGAAGUUUAUAAACAAGUUGUCGCGUGGGGAGCCCAGUGUCUAUGCUAAAGAAGAAAAGAGGGUAGUAUGAGGCUUUGUAUUGAUUAUAGACACAAUUGAAUAAAGUAAUCAAAGAAAAAGUAUCACACCGAGAUAGAUGAUUGAUGGACCAGAUUAGUGGGCUGCUUGUGUUCAGUAAAAUUGAUUUGAGAUCGGGCCUAUCAUCAGAUCAGGGUGAAAGUGAAGACAUCAGAAGACACGUUCAGAAUCGAUGGACAUUAUGAGUAUUCUGUGAUGCCUUUCGGUGUGAACAAUCGCGCCGGGAGUAUUUAUGGAAUACAUGAAUCGUAUUUCCAUACUAUACUGGAUCAUUAUUGGUAGUAUUUAUUGAGGAUGAAAUUGAUUUACCUAAGUCCGAAAGAGAGACACAAGAACAUUUGAGAUUAGUAUUGGAGGUUUUGAAAGAUAAGAAUUGUAUGCGAAGUUGUCAAGUGUGAGUGGUUAAGAGAAGUCAGUUUUCUCGGCCAUGUAAUUUCAGGAAAGGUAUUGCUGUAGAUCCUUCCAAGGUAGAAGCUGUAUUGCAAUGGAAACUCCUAAUCGGUUACCGAGAUUAGAAGCUUUUGGAUUAGCUGGAUAUAGAGAAGAUUAUUGAAGGAUUUCUAAGUUAGCACUUCCGUUGACUAAUUAACUUGCAAAGGUAAGCUUUCGUGGGAUGUCAGUGCGAAGAGAUUUUAAUGAAUUAAAGAGGAGAUUGACGCGGCGCGGUUUUGACUUUGCAAUCCGGAGGACCGGUUAGUAAUUUACUGUGAGCUUCAUUGAUGGGUUUGGAGGUGUGCUCAUAGCAAAAAAAAGAGUAAUGCUUAUCGACGUGCGACAGUUGAGAAUCAUGAAAAGAACUACCUACGCAUGAUCUUGACUGCUGCUGUAGUGUUGCGCUAAAAUUGGAGGCAUACCUUUAUGGUUCAGAUUCGAAGUUUUCAGCGAUCAUAAAGUUUAAAGUACUAUUGAUCAGAAAGAGACUGAACAUGAGACAACGUAGGUGGGCGAUUGCUUAAGGAUUAUGAUUUCGGUUAUUAAUCAUCAUCCAGGAAAAGCAAAUGUUGUGCGGAGCUUAAAGUAGAAAGACCUUGCAUGUGUGGCAAUGAUGCAUUAAAGGAGUUGGAAUAAUUGAGCAAAAUUCGGGAUAUGAGUUGGUUGCGAAGUAACACCGCAGAGUGGAUGCAGGAAUGUAAAGAAUUAAUAAGAUUUAUGGAUUAGUAUCCGAGAGCACAGAAGUUGGAUGUGAAAAUUAGUAGAUAUACCUUAAUCGUGUGGUCAACUCAGAGAAAAGUGACUUAAGGUACGCGAGAGUGUUGUGAAUUAGGGGAAAGAAUUGUCUUCCUGAUGAGCGAUUUUGAGAGAAGUAUUUUAGAGGAGGGUCAUAGAAGCAGGUUCGAGUAUCAUCCAGGAGCUACUAAUGUAUCAGGAUUUAAAGAAAUUAUUUUGGUGGCCGGAAUGAAAGAAAUAUGGCUCUUUGUGUAUGCGUGCUUAACUUGUCAGAAGUCGAAGAUUGAGCAUCAGAAGCCUGCUGGGUGAUGCAACCGUGGAAGUUUCCCGAAUGAAAUGGGAAUAGGCAUCUAAUGACUUUUGUAACGGGGCUGCCGGCUACCUUACAGGCAAUGAUUCGAUUCUGGGUGAUCGUUGAUGAGGCUCACGAAGUGGCUCACUUGUACCUAUUAACAUCACACUACCCAACUUGCAAGUUGGCAGAGAUUUACAUUCGAGUAGUUGUACAAGUGCAUGGUGUCUCUCUGUUAUUGUGUGGACAGGGACCGAGGUACGAUGCGGAUGGGGGGUUUGGAAAAGUCUGCAAGAGAUUGUCUGGGAUCCUAAGUGCAGGUUAGAGUUCGGCAUAUCAAUUCCUCAAAACUGAUGGCCAAACUGAGAGAACUAUUCAGUCAUUGGAAGAUACUGAGCGGCUGUGUUCUUGAAACAAGGAGGUACGUGGAGGACAUUAGCUCCAUUGAUCGAGUUCACAUACAAUAAUAAGUUGACCAAUUCCUAAGUAUCGGAAGUGACGCCUUUUGAAGCAUUAGAGGUCGUAGAUGUAAGAGACCCCUUUGUGAUGGAGCAGAAUCUGUGACGGUGUAGUACUGGACCAGAGUUAGUUCGAGAAACUACCGAGAAAGUGAAGAUUAUACCGGGAAGACAGAUGAAAGCUUCUCAGAGUAGGCAGAAAGAGUUAGCCAUGACAAGCGGAAGAAGUUUAGAAUUUCAAGCGUGUGACCAUGUGUUUUGAGAAGUCACGCCUGUGGACCGGAGUUGGGAGGGCUUUGAAGUCUAAAAGCUCAUCCUCGCUCAUGUCCAUAAUCAGAUUUAGAACGGGUUGGAAAGUGGCUUAUCGAAGGCAUUACCACUAAUCUUACAUCGAAUCUGGCAUGAUGUUAUCCAUGUGUCCGCAGCUCGAGGAGUAUUCCCCUUUUUAGAUCCGUCUCAUGUGUGUUAGUAUGGAGAUGUGCAAGGCGAGAUAAUUAACAGUAGAGACAAAGCCUGUACGAGUGAAGAUCCGUGAAACAAAGCCUUCGGGAAAAGAGAUUGUUGUUGGUUAAAGUCGUUGGUUGGAGCUGCGGGCGAAAGCAUCGAAUGGGAAUACUUGAAAGUCGGAUGAAGGAGUCUUAUCCGAUUAUUUGCUUGAGGUAGUUUCGAGGAAAAACUCGUUUUUAGUAGGGGAGAGUUGUAACACCCCGAAUUAAAUAAGAGGAUUAAUUUAAUUAAGUAAUAAAUAUUUAAUAAUUUAAUUAAAUAACAUUGAAUAUAUGGAUUAUUAUUAAAUAUUAAUUAUUAUAUUAUUUGGAAUAAUAAUUAUAGUGGAAAUAUAAUAGUUGGAAGAGUGAAAAAAAGGGUUCAUUGUUGGUAAAGAUUUCACGUGAAACAGAGAAAGCGGCUGAAAGGUGAAAAGGGAGAAAAGCAAAGGAUGAAGAACGGAAAAGCUUGAGCUAGAGAAUUGCGCGGAUUAUCUCAGUAAGGGGUUUAUCGUCGUUUAAUGGGUAUAUAGAUGAACAUGUCAUGGCUAGUGAUAACCGUUGAAUUGACCUAAUGGGAUUAGAAUGCUGAGGAAAAUUGUGAUGAUUAAGUUGUAGAAAACUGAAAUGAAUCGAUAAUUGUAUGUGCCGUGAUUUUCGAUAAGUACUUUUUACGGAAGUUAAUGCGGAGGUCCGGAAGUCCUCCAACGGCGGAAAAUGCGGAGAACUCUGCAUUCUGCCUUGUGUUAGCGAGGUACUGCGUGCCUGCGUUAACGGGUAACCCAGGGUGUUAACCGGUUAACACGUGUUAUAUUUGUGGAAAUGUGCUGUUUUGCCUGCGUUAACAACGGAUACCCAGGGCGUUAACCGGUUAACACUGUCUGCGUUUUGCAGAAGAAAUGAUUUUUGUCCUGCGUUAACCGGUUAACCAGGGCGUUACCCGUUAACACUGUUUGGAAUAUGGGAAAAUUGAUAUUUUAAAGUUGUGAAAUAAUUGGCGAUUGGGCAUUACCGUAAUUCUGAUGAGUAAUUUUGUUGGAUUAUGUUUGAAGUGUUUGAUACAAAUAUUGUUAGAUAGUUGUGUUAAAGUUGUUGAAAUAGGAUUUGCGCGCCUGUGACGGACAUGUCAGCGUCAUGGGGCUUGGUGAGCCCAAAGUAUUUAUAAGUUGACUUUUGAUUGGAAACGUUGUGUGUUGAUAUUAUUAUUAUGUUGUCGACAGUUAGAGUCGUGAUGCAUCAGUACAUUCAAUCAUGCAUUAAGUCGAAGCUUUGCUCACACCGACGUUGGCCUGGAUGGCAAAUUUUAAGGUUGAAAGUUAAGGAUUGCUUUGAUGCCCAUAUAAAAUGGCAAUGAUUUUAAGUUGGGAGUUUUACCCGAAUGUCCGACAUGCAUGACGAGUUUCGUCUCAUUUAGUUGCAUUUUAUGUUGUUCCUUGAGAUAUAUAUUGAGCUGAUAACUGCCGUUGCUUGUAUGUGUAAUCUGAUUGGGUGAGAACGUGUUAAACUUACUUAGCAUUACAUGGAUGAAUUAUAAUGCUUAUAGUGAUUAGAGAUGACUCAACCCUUACAGUUAUUUUUCAGGUAACGAGCAAUGAGUCGAGUAAAAGCUAAUGCUUGAGUCUAGUGUAAGUCGCUUUACGUGGUCCAUGCCUCUGAUAGAUGUAACAUCGGGACGGGAUGUUUUAAUUAUUUGUUGUCGGUUGUUGAACUAUUUUUCCUGUAAUAUGUAUACACGUUUUAAUUGGUUGACCAUAACCUAUCCGCUGCGUAUUUUUGAAAUGUCUUAUGAUGAUAUAAUAAAAGAGCAGGACGAUGUAUUUUCGUAUAAGAAUGUGACACCCUUGUUUUGUGUAUUUACGCUCUGAUAUAUAUAUAUAUACUUGUUGUUUGUAUUAAAUAUUUGGGGUAUUUUAGAAGGUGUUACAUGCGCGCCACUGAUCAACAACACAUUCUUCACAAUCUUCUUGGCAUCUUUCACGAGACAUAGGUGUCCAAUUCCUUCUCAGCAGCAAUAGACAAGGCUUGGAACAGAGUUCCAACCUCAUCCUCAAACUUCACAUACGAGAAAGAAUGACGAGUUGGUAACCAACAACGCCUUCUCUCCUCCAACAAUCACAAGCUUGCCAUUCUUGACAAAUUUCAAUUUCUGAUGCAGAGUGGAGGUAACAGCCCCUGCCUCAUGAAUCCAUGGCCUUCCCAAUAAAAAAUUGUAGGCCGGGUGGAUAUCUAUUACUUGAAAAGUAAUAUGAAAAUCACUCAAACCUAUCUUGACUGGAAGGUCCACUUCACCAAUCACUGUCUUGCGCGAACCAUCAAAGGCUUUGACGAUUACACCAGUGUACCUCAUGGGCGCUCCUUGGUAAGAUAGCUUUAACAAAGUUGACUUCGGAAGCACAUUUAGUGACAAACCGGUGUCAACAAGCACAUUUAACAAAGCAUCUUCCUUACAGUUCAUUGAAAUAUGCAAAGCCAUAUUAUGAUUUCUUCCCUCCUCAGGGAGUUCUUCAUCGCAGAAGCUCAAAUUAUUGCAUGAAGUGAUGUUAGCCACAAUGUGAUCAAACUGAUCCACAGUAACAUCAUGCUCUAUACAUGCUUGUUCAAGAACUCUCUGCAGUGCUUCUCUGUGGGCUUCGGAAUUCAUCAACAGAGACAACACUGAGAUUUUUGAAGGAGUUUGGAGCAGCUGCUCAACCACAUUAAACUCGCUCCUCUUUAUUAAUCGGAGUACCUCAUCAUCAUCAUUGUCUUUUAAGUUGUUGGAUUCACCAGACUUAUCUUUUGAACAACCAAUCGGAUCUACAUUAGGAACCUCCGCCUUCUUACCAACAAUCAUUUCUUAUUUGUUUUCUAGGACCACCGACCCAAACACUCGACCACUACGAGUCACCUUUGUUACAUCAGCAAUGCUCACUACUGAACUAGUCAUAGGUAACGGGACCUCUUGACCAUUCUUUAUCAUUGUAGCAUUGUAUUGGUACGAUACAACCUUAUCAGAUGAAUACGGAACUGGGCCCGCUAACCGUAUUACCAACGACGAUACUGAUCUUUGAUUGACGUUCUUAUUAUUGCUGCUAUCAUAUUGAAUUACCAACCGCUCUUGUUGCUUGAAAACGGGCACUAUGACAUUGACGUCCUCAUCUACAUGACGAGAUUUGACAAUUUGAAACAUGCCUUCAUCCAUCAUACGUUGGAUGUUCCUUUUCACUACAUCACACCCUCUUGGGUUCACACUACAAACAACACAACCGUCAUGGUCAUUUUCACAAUCACUCACAAUACAAAUAUCCUUGUGCAUAUGCACCAAAGAUCUUCGGAUAAACCGGACGUCAAACACCUUGAAUUCUCCAGAACAACCGUCCACAAUAUUCACUGGAGAGUUCCCAUGAGCGAGAAAAGGGUUUGCUUUCACAUUUGGCGCAUGGUCCUCAAAGGACACCAUACCACUCUUCAUAAGCUUUUGAACCUCAUACUUCAAUGCAUAGUAGUUUUCAAUGUCGUGUCCGGGUGCUCCUUGACGAAAAGCACAACGAAGCUCAGGUUUAUACCACAAGGGAAGUGGUUCUGGGAUCUGCGGUGGGUUCGUCAGUUGAAUUAAGUUCUUGAGAACUAGCGAGGGAUACAGCUCUGCAUACGACAUAGGAAUCGGGUCAAAAGAGACCUUCUUCCUUUCAAUGUUCUACUGAUGAUGAUUGUUGUUGGUAUUGUUGUUGUUGUAGAUGUUCGUUAUUUGUUGUUGUUUUUGUUGUUGUUGACGUUGAUGUUGUUGUUUACCUCUUAGCGUCUUCAAUUCCUUGCGCAGCUCAAGAAACUGAUCUUUCAUCUCGUCUAUAUUCUCAUAAACAUCCGGGCCCUCAGACGGAUCGGAAUGAUAGAUGGUAUCCUCUACGCGAGGCAAAGUAUGCACAAUGGGAGGUGGCACGGACAUGACUGGGCUAGAUGCUGACAUGGAAGCAAAUGUAGGCGUAAAGCCUUCUGGCACAAAGUUGGGUGGCAUUCCCCAUGGGAAUCCGGUAGGCAGGUUCGACGCGAAGUGGGCGGUAGCAGCAGGCAUGGUAGAGGUAGUCAUCUCUUAAGUAACAUUCCUCGUAGGAGGAGUUGCAGGUGUUGGAGAAGCUUGGUUCUGAGCGGCUAGAACUGACUCCAUCAUGGCAGUCAGGCGGGCGAUCUCGUCCUUCAUCUCUCUAUUCUCUUGCUCCAAAUGUUCCAUGAUUUUCUGAUGAUUGGCUCGGGUAUUGUAUCGGUGAGUCAGCUUGGGUAAAGCACAAAAGAAACACCAAUUAGACAUCUGGCGAAAACCUGCUUAUGCAAAUGAUACAUGAAAUGCAAUGCUUGAUUAUUUUUAGUUUCAAUGAACUUACUAUAUCAUUUGCAAAUAUAUAAUAUUUAAAUGGCAAUUGAAACAAUUUGAUAUGACCAAAAAUCUCUUUUUAUUUAUAUAAAUUGGAAGGAUUACACUGAGUACAUUUUCAGAAACGAAAAUAAAAAGAUACAAGAGAAAAGGAGAGUAGUCAUCCUAAGGAUUCCUAACAACAAUGUUAGAAGAUCUGGCUGAAGGCGCGUACUUCCUUCGAAUGCGACGGAUCUCGAUCUCAAAAGAAGCCUUCAUCUGAGUCUUCUCGAGGACAAGCUGGUCAACAAUCUUCUUCCAAGAAACGAAAGGCUGAGGCAUGCUAGGAGAUGAAUCCUCUGGCUCUCUCUGUCUCUUCGUCACUCGGUCUUCAAGUAGCUCGAUAAGUGCAUCUUUGUCCUUAGACUCCAACUGCAACUCUUCAUGCUUCUUUCUCAAAGAACGGAAACGCUCUUCCCAAAUGUCCUUCUCUUGCUUCAUCUUGGCGAGCGCGUCUUCCAACUCCUCUACAUAUUGGUUAGGGAGAGUUAAUGUCUCAACCACAACAAUAGACAUAGGUCUUUCACAAGGAUAAGGCAUCUUCAACUCCAUAGCUCUCUUCUUCACCCAAAGAGUGUAAGCUUCCAAAGCUACACAAUUGCACGGACCAAGCUCGGAUCUUCCUUUCCUGUGCACAUUAUGCCAAGCAUGCACAAUCUUCUGCUUCAAAUGUUGGGGAUCUUUACCCUCUUGAUUGAAAAGACCUUCUAACCACAUGUUAUUAGGUUUGUCUCUCAAGGGGAAGCCAAGUUGACGAAGAGCCAAAGCAGGGUUGUAGUUAAUUCCUCCUUGUGUACCAAUGAGACGCACAUUAGAGAACUCACCACAACUAUCAAUAAUCUCUAAACUGCUUAAAGACGGAUCAUACCAAACUAUAUCAUCAUUAGUGAGAGACAUAAGUCUCUGAGACCACCUUAGACAUUGUUUGUUCUUGUAGCGGGGUAUUCGUUACCAUUAGAGAUAUUGACUAAAUCUAAGGUAAACCAUACAAGUCGAGUCGCCACCGCACUUCUAUUUAUCCAAAGGAAUGGUUAGAAAGCGAACAAAACCCUAAAAAAUUUAUCGAAUCAAAAACUAGUAAAAAUGUCAGAGAUCGGGGUAAGGGGGUUGGUUAUGCAAUGGGAAGGUUUUAAGCAUCCAAAACAUCCUAGGUACUCCUAGGGAGCCCUUUUCAUAUUUGUUGUAAGGUUGGUAUUUUGUGAAAAUUUGUUUGUGCAAACAUGAUUGAAGAGAUGAGAAGAGAAUAUACAAGUUAUUUACAUUUUGUGUUUGGAUGGAUAAACCCUUGCUACGUACCAUCUUAAGAAAGAUUAGGAUCAAAACCUCGUAGUUCGGGGUAAAAAUCUCAAAAUGAGUUGGUGAAUUGAUUGGUCCAAAAGCCUUAAGGUCUUUUGUUAUCCAAGGGAGAAAACUUCAACUUAAAACCACAAAUCACCACGUAAGGAAAGCUUCACAUGCUAGUGAGGGGUUAACCCCUAUAAUAAGCAUGGAAGACUCAUUGUCCAUCACUAAGGAUAUAGGUGAGUAUUACAUCUACCUCAAGGAUAACUCAAACCUAAUAGCUAAAGGUUAUGAAAAGUUUUGAUUAAGAAAAGUGGCCAUUGAAACCACAAAAAACAUUUGAAUGAGUUAUAUUUACCAAUGAAAAGUAUUUACAAAAAUAUGGUCAAAGUUGACUUAAAAGUUCAAUUUAAAAUAAGUGUUAUGAAAAGAAAGUUUAAAAAUCAAAAGCAUAAGGCUUAGGUUUCUAAUGUUUAAAAAUAAGUGUUAAAUGUUUGCACAAAAAGUUUUGGCUUGGGUUAGAGUGGAUGGAAGAAGAAGAAUGGCUAAAGUCCUAAUCAUACAAGAGAUGAGGGAUAAGAAACAAGACCACAAAUGGAGUUCCUCUAUUGAGAUCAUAUUGAUGAUCCAAGUAGCUCCCAUCCUUUGCAAUAUGCAAGCAAAAUAAGUGUAAGCUCAAGCAAUCAACAUAAUCAAACAAGCUCUUAGAAGAUCUCCAAUGUCUCUUGUAUCUUUCACUUUUGGAUGAACAUGGCAAUGAUUCUUCAAUUUGGCUCACAUAGGAUCCCCUAGCACAAAAGCACACACACAUCAAAGAACUUUAUGAAGUAAAUCAAGAAUGGACAAGAGUGAGUUUAGAGGUUUGGUCCUUCUAAUCCAUCUUCAACAUUAAGGUCCUUUUACUCCAAUUUGCAUAGGAAAAGUCCUAGAAACUAAGUCUGUUUGUCCAUUUCUUUGCAUUUUGGUCCACAACAAUCAAAACAAAACACAAGCACAAUAAUAAUAUAUACACAAUUAUGUACUCAAAUGAGCAAAAGGCAAAUUGCAUUAACAUAAACAUGUGCUCAAAUGAGCAAAGGGGGAAAAGCAAAUGAAUAAUAUGUACAAGAAUAGUAAAUUGCAUAAAUGUAAAGUGCAAAAAGUAAAUGUUAAUGGUUAAUAGUUAGUAUCAGUAGUUAGUGUGUCAUAAGGCAAAUUUAGCGCUAUGUUAAGCAAUCGUAAUUGGACUUAUGUAGAAGUCACAACUAUCUGAGGCCGGUCAAUAAUAAUGUAGGCAACAACACAAGUUAGGGUCUGAUUAGUGAAUCAAACUCCAUCAAGUUGCCAUCCCAAAAGAAGAGGAGAAAUGAUCUUGUAUUGAUUUAGGUUUUUUUUCAUGAUUUAGGAAGCAAUCUAUCCUCAAUGCAAAGCUAUUCACUUGAUCCAUGAUCAAGAUGAAUUAGAUUUGAAUUAAGGAAGAUUAACCUCCAUGUAUCAAUGCUAACCACCAAUCUUUAACUCAUUGAUCAAAAAAAAAAAAAAAGAAGAAGAUGAUGAUGAAAAAUUAAUGUGCAUUAAUAGAAAUGGAAUAAGAUAAUUAACAAGCAUUGACCAAAGAUAGAGAAGAUCAAGGUCAAUCAAUAGAAAACAGAAGCAAAAUGAGAAUUAGAAGUCAAGAAACAAAUAAAAUAUUUUUGACAUUUUUUAAUAUUGAAAUAAAACUUGAAUUAAAAUAAUAAAGAAAGGUCAAACUUGAAAAUCACUUCAAAUCAACUUUGGAAAGUCCAAGUGAAUUAUCCCAAGUUCAACAAGGUCAAACAAAGUUUGACAAAAAAUUUCAGCAUUCUUAAAAGUCAGAAACUAUUUUUAAUCAAUUUAAAAUGCAUAAAAAUAACCUAAUUGAACUAAAAUCUCAAAUCAAUUAAUAAAUUGAUGAGAAUAUUUUUCAUAGAUCUAUCAUCAUUCAAAGAGGUUGGAAAAGUGUUUUUGUAUUUUUUGAAUAUCAAAAACUAUUUUAAAUGAAUUAAAAAUAACCAAAAAAGAGAAAAUUACUAAAAAAAUAUCAAAUGAUAAAAUAAAAAAUAUUAAAAAUCAUUUUCAGAAAGUAGAAAUUAAAAGGAGAAGAAUGAAAUUGGUCCCAUAAUUUUUGGACCAAUAAUGAGAGAGAUAUGAAUUUUAAAAAUAAAAUGGAAUUAAAAUAAAUAAAAGAAAUUAAAAUCAGAAAUUAGAAAAUAGGAAAAAAGCGUGAGCCAUUGGAUCUGAGCUCAUUAAUUGAGCUGGCAAAUCAUGAGGCCCACAACGCGCGCCUACCAAACGCGUGAGUCAAACGAGUCACAUGGAACAUCAAAAAAAGUCAUAACAUUGGACGCUUAGGAUUAGAUCUGGAAAAACAAAUGGAAGGCCUAGAUCUAAUCUGGAGACCAGACGGUGGCCAGCGCCACCGUCUUCUCCGGCUAGCUCCGACGAGGUUCAAAAAUUGCAGAACUUAAAAUGGCAACCAAAAUGCACGAUCCAGACAUCAUUCGAGAGCUGGGGUGAUGUACAUCACCCCUGUACCACUCAAUUCCAUUCUAGAUCUCUAGAUUGAGAGAAAUCAGAAGUGGAAAUUCUGUGGUGUUCAUAUGAACUUCAUGAUUUCCAAAAAAUUGAAAGCAUAGCAAUGUUGCCUCUAUGCAGAGGACUUCAGAUCACACAAUAACAAAGCAAAUAGAGCACUAUACAAGCUGGUUCGAAGCAAAUAACAGUUGAAGUAAACCUUUGAAUUGCAACCUCUAUGCAGAGGACUUCAGAUCACACAAUAACAAAGCAAAUAGAGCACUAUACAAGCUGGUUCGAAGCAAAUAACAGUUGAAGUAAACCUUUGAAUUGCAAGGCUUGGAGUCAAGAUCUUUGGAUUCUUUUGCUAACAGUAGACACUAGGGAUCAAGGAAAGAAGGUUUAGGAACUUUGAGAUAUGAAGAUUGAUCAAUGAAAUCAAAAUUCAGAUCUGAAAAAUUUGAAGAGAAAUGAAAUAGUUCCUUUAGUGAUGGCUAGGAUUUCAGUUCAGCAGCAAUUGGGGUGCCUUAAGGUUGCUAAAAUGAGAGGCCAAGGCAUUGUAUUUAUAGCUUAGCAAGGCCGAAUUGCAUGAUCAAAUCGUGUGCAUGGAUGGAAGGGGCCUCCAUGCAUGGGCCUGUACAGGCGCAUGGAGGGCCCAAUUCCACUUGGAAAUGGAAGCUUAUGCAUGAUGUAAGUAGAAUGGACGUGCAUAAUGGAUUGUAUUAGCUCAUGCAUGGCAAUUGAAAUGAUUUUCACAAAAUGCACUAUUACAUUCAAGUCUUCGAAAAUGCCAUGUCCAUACUUGAAAUGUAACCUCAUGAGUAAUGGUUAGAAAGCUUAUUGCAUAAGGAACAAAUGUUAUAUUGAUCAAAACUCCAUUUGGGCCUUGGAAAUUAAUGAAAAUUGAACUUGUAGUGUAGGGUGCAAAACAUGCAUAUGUGAGAUUUUCAAAAUUGGCCAAAGUUCAAGCCCUUCUGUCUCAUUGAUACAAGCUCCAAAUGACAAAACCUUAAACAUUAAAGUUGUAGUUAUUUUAACUAAAACCAAUUUGGACUUAAAUUUUGCAUCAUUUGGAUUUUUGAUGAAGAAGUUAUGGGCACUUGAAGUUGGACUUUUUCACAUUUCAAUGCAUUUGGUCCAAAGUGACCUAUAAUGUUUUGCAUUAUAACAUGUAUUUCUUUUGAGAUUUUGGGAUUUUGCUCAACAUAAAAUUUGAGCUAGACAUCCUAAUAUUUCCAAUUCAUUUGAUAUCACCUCUAAAUCAUGAAAAAUGAAAGAGUUAUGUCCUUGGGAAGUUGACCCAAAAUUAGGGUUUCAGUCAAAAUGACCUAUAAUGUCUUGGGAUGGAUGAUGACCUCCCAAGCUUCAAAUCAAUUUUUGAUGAACAUGGAAGUUGUUCAUAGAGUCCUUAAGAACAUUUUUUCUCUCGGGGUCAUCUCCAUUUGACAAACACAUAAAAAGUUAGGUCUCAGUGCAUUUCAAAAUACUCAGAUGAAUUGACUAAUCAACUUCUCAAGUCCAAACCUCAUAUCUUGAUGAAUUGAUGAUUGAGGGCACUAAAAUAAGUCCAAAUAUGCAUUAAAUGAUGAAUUAAAUAACUUCCCUUGAUUUUUUUUGACCAUAGGUUGAGGUUGCUUCAUGAGUAAAGCACAAUUGAUGAGCAGAUGAAUUAGGGCUUCCUUGGGAAACAAACCUCAAACCCUUUGAUUUGCUUUGGUCAAAAUGAUGAAUUGAGAUACUUGGGAGGCAUAUUUGAUGGAUGAGAGAUUUGGGAACCAUAUCCAUGCUUGCCUUCAUCUUCUCUUGGCCAUAUUAAUGCACAUAGGGUCUCCUAGAAGCUUUAGACUUUGUGACUGCUCAAGCUACAAACAACAGAUGUUAGUGACAUAUUUUUGUGCUUUUGGUUAGUGACUAAAAAUGAGAAAAGCAAUGAUAUACAAUUCAAGCAUGCUUGGUGAUCUCAAACCAACUCACAAGAGGUCCCACCCAAAGGCAAAGGGAACCAAGACGCUUAUGAUCCUUGAGGCAAUAUAAAUGCAAUGUUAUGAUGCCAUGAGGGAUCUUAGGGUCAAAAUUAGGAUCACAGUUCUCCACAAAACCAGGUGUCUGAGGCAAGUGAGAAAUAAACCACUUGUAACAGACAAUUGUUCCACCACCUUUAGAAUUCCUUAGAUGUAAAGAGAAAUACAUAUCACCCAACAAAGUAGGCAUAGGAUUCCUAAUCAAGAAAAGUCUAAUGGCGUUAACAUCAACAAAACCGUCAAUGUUAGGGAACAAAGCUAAUCCAUAGAUGAGCAACACAAAUAUAGCUUCAAAAGCGUCCAUACUACCAGCUUGAGAAAAGGUGGUAGCUUCCUUGAUGAGGAAAACAGAUGGCAACCCAAAUAAUCCUCCUUUCUUCUCCCAAUGAGCCUGUAUCUCAGACUUCUUCAAGUUAAGAGCUUCAGCAAUAAUACUAGACCGGGGAAUCUCCUCUAAUCCACUAAAAGGCAGUCUACUAGAAACAGGUAUCCCCAAAAGAUGAGAAUACUCCUCUAAUGUAGGCACAAGCUGAAAAUCUGGGAAAGUGAAACAAUGGUAGAGAGGAUCAUAGAACUGCACUAGCACACUCAAAAGUCCUUCAACCACAUCAGCAGACAAGACGGACAAAAGCUUCCCAUGACAUUGUUUGAAGUCCAAGGGAUCUAAUACAAAAGAUGCUAGCUUCCUUAACUCUUUCAAGUUGGGACAUCUGAAACUGUACUUCUUAGUGUUCCUUCGUCCACAAUCCAUGGUAUGAAAAUAUUUGCAAAUGAUAACUUAGUUCCUUAAAAUUUUCGUGUGACGAAUGUUAUGAUGCGCAUGAAUGCAUGAAUGCAACACCCAUAAAUAAGGGAUUACGCACAAGGUAAACAAAGGUCAAGGAAUGAAUCAAGUCAUUGUCAAGAUCAAUCAUCCAUUUUGGUGGAUUAUGGUUUACACCUUAUCAACACCCAAGUUCCAUUGAUAUUGACAAGACUUGGUUGGAUCAACCAAGAAUCAAGGGUUUGUUACAAGUCACGAGCAUGGAGUAGUCUGGGUAAGAACCAUCCCAAAGGAGUGAACUAAGGAUAAAAACCUGUAGAUCAUAUUCUAAAAAGUUCUCAGAGUCUUAAUUCCACCUAUGGGAUAUUAUAGGUUAAGAUGACUGACUCAUCGACCCAUAAUAUUCUCAAGAGAAACUCGUUUGAGUGUAGUAUCACGUAACAACUGUUAUCAAGUCUACACCUGAACAGUUUCCGCACUACGUUCUAAAUAGGCCAAUAUGGGUUAAAUGUUCUAAGGUCCUCAGCUUCUCGGACCCAAUUAGAGAUAGCAAUGCCUAACCACAAAUACUUGUAUGACAUUUCCAAAUCCAAAGGAGUCUCCACUGAGCAGAUGGAUCUCAAGCCAACUUGUUAAGGACUAAUCCACACAAGUCGAACAUGACUAUACCAUCCUCCUAUCUUAAUUGCACUCAAGUUUGGGUUAGAACUUAUCUCACCACUCAGAGAUCCCCAAGCACAACAAGAAAAUUAUAUCACACAUACAUACAAACAUCACAUAUAUACAAAUAGAUUCACACAAAAAAUAAGCUAAACCCACUGAGGACUACUCCCUAGCAGAGUCUCCACUUAAUUUCUGUAGCGGGAAAUUCAUGAUCAUCAAGCUAUUGAUAAGCUAGAGAUCAAAUUACAAGAGUCGCCACCGCGCUUUUAUUAUUUCCAAUGGAAAAGGGAAAAAGUACGAACAAAACCCAAAAGGUAAGAAGUUUUCAAAUCAAAACUAGUAAAAAGUCAGAGAUCACAGGUAAGGGGGUUGGUUACACAGAGGAAAGGUGUUAGCACCCAAAGUGUCCUAGGUACUCGUGGGGAGCCCUUUUUGUGUGCAUGUGUAUUUUGUACAAAGUGAUGUUUACAAACAAAUAAAAUGGGGGGAUGAGAAAAGAAUUCAUUAAUUAUAUUUUUGUGUUUAACAAGACCUUCGGUCUUGUGCCUACGUACCAACAUAAAAAUGAGGGAUCAAAACCUCGUAGUUCGUGAUACAAAUUUCAAAAAAUUCAUUAAUUAUAUUUUUGUGUUUAACAAGACCUUCGGUCUUGUGCCUACGUACCAACAUAAAAAUGAGGGAUCAAAACCUCGUAGUUCGUGAUACAAAUUUCAAAGUGGAUGCAUUACUUUUAACAAACAUUAAGUUGAAAGGCACAAAGGUCUAAAAUGAUUUGAAUGAGUUACUUCUUUUUGGCUUUUUGAAAGUUUAAGUCAAGUAUAGUUAAAUUUAUUUACAAGUUUGAUUUAAGAAAAGAAGUUUAAAAAUGCAAUGGAAUAAGGCCAAAGUUUCUAUCUUUUGCCAAAAGUGGUCAAAGUUGAGGACAAAAGUAGUUCACAAAAAGAAGAUUUUUAAAAAUGGAGGGAGAGAUUUUGAAAUUAAAGAAAUGAGGGAGAAGAUGAAGAGAUUAUUCUAUGCACAAAAAUUAAAAGUUUAAAGUUGAAAAGAUCUGACCAAGUGGGUAGCAAUCCAAUAGACAAGAAUGUCAAUAGAAACCCAUAAUUCCCUUGGACUUUUUAAAAUCAAGAAAAACAUAAAUGCACACUUAUAUUAUCUUGAAGAGCAAGGCAUCAAAUAAAGAUGGCCACAUCCAAGCUUAUCCGUUCCAUGAUCUUCUUCAAAAUAGCCCAUGUAACAGAUGAAUUCAACAAGUCGCAGGUUCAAAAUAACAGCUUCACAAUGAUCAUGUUGCUGAUGAACUUAGAGAGGUCUUCAAAGAUGUAUCAGAUGAAGUUCAAAUUGUAAGCACUUGGUUCUUCAACAAUUUGGCAUUGGCAAAGUCCUUUAGCUUAGGAAGGUUGCCUAGAUUCUAAGUCCAUUUGUCCUAGAUCAAGCCAACAGUCCACUCAAGAGUUUUUUUAGGACUUUUGUUAUUAUUAUGUACAUUAAUGGUCAAAGACCACAUAAAUAAAUAAAGUAUAGACAAACAAAAUAUAUCACACAAUAUGGUCCAAAUGGGCAAAGUGAAAAUUGCAUUAACAUAAACAAUUAGAAUGAUAUGAAUAAUAGCAAAUGAAAUAGUGUUAAAAGUAAAUUGCAUUAAAGUAAAAGCUUGAAACUAAAAGUUAGUAGUUAAUUGGUUAGAAGUUAGUAUUGUUUUGCUUUUUCUUUUUUCAUUUCAAGACAUUCUUUGGAGAACACUCAACCCACUUAUCACAAGCAUAAAUCCUUGAGCCAAAACAUCUUCCAAAGGAAGGAAAGAAGGCCAUGUUUCUAAACAAUACCAUGAAAGAGGAGAGACUUACAAUCUCACUAACUAGAAUGCUUAUGCCUUUUAUGUAAAAAAUUUAGUGCUAUGUUAAGCAAUUGUAAUUGGACUUAUGUAGAAGUCACAAUUAUUUGAGGUCGGGCAAUAGAAUUUUGGUGUUAAUGCAUGUUAGAGACAUAGUAUAAUGGAUUAUGCUCAUGAAACAUACCACACAUAUAAAAAGAAUAUGAAAAAGGUGUGGUCUAAUCUCAUCCAUACUCAUGUCAAUUUUUCAAUCAACUAGCAUUAGGACUUUAAGAUGUCAUAGGCCAAAUGGAAUGAAUGAAUGAAGAAAGGGAAUAAAAUGAAGUGGAAGGGGAAUGAAUGAAAACACAAAUUGGUCAAAGGAGAACUUUUACCAAAUUAAUAUCAUUCAUUCAUUUUGGGAGAUGGAAUGUACGUUCCAUCAAUCCCCUAAAUCCAAUGAUAUUAAUUUGACAAAGUCAAAUCAACCUUGACCAAGGCCGAACAACAAGAGUUAAACAUAAACAAGUCAUCACAAUUGGUCAACCAAUUUAUUUGGCAUUUAUUCAAAUUAAAAAAAUAAUAAAAUAAUGUAUUUAAAUCAAAUAUGGUUUGUCCUAUUCCUAAAAUCUCAUCAAGACACCAAAGAAAUGGCCAAGAAAUUUAUCAUAGGUCAAACAAGGUCAAAGGACCUUGGAGAAAAAAUUUCAUAAUUUUUGGACAUUUAAAAAUAUUUUUAAACAUUUAAAAACAAAUUAAAAAUCAAUUAAUUCAUGAAAAAUAUUAAUAAUGAUUGAAAAAAUAAUUUUAAUUCAGAAUAUGAAAGAGAAAAAUAUUUGAAAUUUUUUGGUGAAAGUCCCAUAUUUUUUGGAUCAAUAUUGAAUUUAAUAUGAAUUACUGAAAAUAAAGCAAAUAAAAUGAAAAUUAAAAUAUCAGAAAAAAUGUGGACCACUUGAUCUCCCUCAUUAAUUGAGGUGGCAAAUCAACUGGCCAGAAACGGGCGUUCCACCAUGGUCUCAAGUUAGCGCGCUGCAUAAUUGGUAAUUAAAAGGGACGCACGAGAUUAAAACAAAACAAGUGGAUCUUGUGGCUAUGAGACAUGCCAGCGCAUAGCCGGAGCUGUAGCUCCGGUCUUCUUCUCCGGUGGACCUCACCGGACUGGUCCACCAUCAACCAUCACCAAAAUUAAAAACAAGGACAUGAUUUCAAAGUAAAAAUGGCACUAAGCUCUAAUCUGGCCUCAAUUCACUCUAACUCCAAGUAUAUUGAGAGAUACAUGGAGUUGAAAUUUGAGGUACAUGAAUUGAGUUGCUUUGAUUUGGCCUCAAAGCAACUCAAUCUUCUUGCCUACAUUGGUAGGACUUCAAACAACCAAAGAAUCAAUAGAAUUGAGCAAGAAUUUGAGAGAAUCGAAGAGUUCAAAAUUUCUGGAAAAUACCUUCACCUACAUUGGUAGGACUUCAAACAACCAAAGAAUCAAUAGAAUUGAGCAAGAAUUUGAGAGAAUCGAAGAGUUCAAAAUUUCUGGAAAAUACCUUCAAUGGAGGUCUGGAUUCAACUGAUCUUGAUCCUGAUUGUGCUUGAUCUUACUCCACUUGCUUGUAAAAGAAGGAUUGAAAGCUUACAAGCUAUGGAUUCCUGGAGAUUUGAAUUUCAAAACAGUGGAAAUUCAACCUCAAAUUCAAAUGAAUUUCUCAGGUUUAUCCUUUGCAAAGUGAGGGUUUGAGAUGGGGAAUCAGAGCUGGUGCAAAUGUGUGUGAAAUUAUGAGCAUAUGGAGCUCUAUUUAUAGCCAAUUCAAUUGAUAUUUGCACACUUGAAAUCACUUUCCAAAUUUGGUCAUUGAUGAUGCAUGGGUGCGUAUAGGCCCAUAAAAUCAUUUCCAUAAGUCCACAAAUGAAUGUUGGAUAGUCUGAAUUGAGCUUAGAUUGCAAGGCAAGUGUGCAUUUGGAUUUGAAGUUUGAUCCUUGCCAAGUCAUGUCACCAUGUUCAUGCCAUACGCAGCCUAUGCAUUCCUUGUCCAAAAUGAAUGAAUUUAAGCUCUUUAGAAAGGUGAGAUAAAAAGGAACAACUUUCAUGUUCAAUACUUUUUCAUUUGGAGCUUGGAACUUGGAGAAAUUUGAGGUGGAAGUUUGGAAAUGUUUGACAUAUCAAAAAAAUUCUAAGUGUCAAACCAUAUGUCUCAAUAUUCCACCUUGCUUAACUUUUUAUGUGAGUUUCAAAUGAGAAAAGUGUCUUUAUAAAAGUUGUAUAUCUUUCAAAUACCUUCAAAAUGGUCACCAAUUUCAUUUCAUUUGGGUUUGAAAUGAUAGAUUUAUGCAUUUUUGAAGUUUGAAAAAAUCACUUGAUCAAUGGUAUAGGUCAAAAGUGACCUAUAAUGUAACCUCAUAUCACAUGCUCAAAAAAGUUGAAUUAGCUCCCACUCCAAACAUUAAAGUUGAAGUAGACACAUUUAAUUUGAUUAUGAAACUUGGAAAUCUUUCAUCUUAUAAAAAUUGAUCAAGUUAUUGCCUUGGGAAGUUGACUUUCAAAUUAGGGUUUAGACAAAAUGACCUAUAAUGUUUCAACAUAGAAAAUAAUUUUCCAAGCAAAACUAGAUCUAGGUCUCAACAUGAGAGUUGUUUGGAAUGUGAUCUAGAGUAAGUUUUCUCUUGGAAUAAUUUUCAUAUGGUGCAAAUUGUAGGAGAUAGGGUCUAGGGAGACCCAAUUUUGAUUAGAGGAAUUCAUCUGGCCAACCACCAUCAACUAACUUGCUAACUUCCAAUUCUCUUGACUUUAUUGGCUCAUGGUAGAUCAUAUAUGCAUAAGAUGAUGCAUUUUGAAGUGUACCUUGAUAAAUUUGAUCAAUUAGUAAGAUAGCUUGUUGGAGAAGUUACUCAAGAUACCUAGUCAAACUAGGGUUUCCAAGGCAAAUCACCCUUAAACUCUUGAAGAAAACUUUAUCAAUAUAACAUGUAGAGAAAAUUGGGACUCAUAUAUGAUGUUCAUAAAUAUUUUUGAAUCAAUUCUUGGUUGUGCUCUUUAUUCAUGAGGGUCUCAAACCUUAGAUGUGAACUUGAUGAAUCAAUGGAAUCAUGCCCUUCCUACAAAAGAGUUAGACAAAUGCAAAGACAUAUUUUUGGUAUUUUGGUUAGUGAAAUGCUAAAAUACAAGUAUGAUAUAAUCACAAAGUGUUUGGUGAUCUCUCCCAAAAAAAACCCAAUGAAAGAGGGGUAAGGAGGAUGCCAAGGUAUGAUCCCAAUGCUAAUGCAUGUGAUGAAAUUGCAUGAGGGAUCUUAGGGUCAAAAUUGGGGUCUUACAGGCCUGACUUAACAUACAGUGUAGAUAUGGUGAGUAGAUUCAUGCAGAAACCAAAGGUAUCACAUCUAGCAGCAGUGAAGAGGAUACUAAGGUAUCUGAAAGGAACUCUCGAUUAUGGAAUUUUGUUUCCUGCAACUGAUGAAAGAAAACAAUGCAAACUAGUGGGAUACACCGACUCAAGUUGGUGUAGUGAUGUUGAGGAUCGAAAUCCAUAGAUGGCUAUGUGUUUAUGCUAGGUGGUGCACCAAUUUCUUGGAGUUCGAGAAAGGCGCCAGUAGUGGCAUUAUCGUCGUGCGAAUCAGAAUACAUAAUUGCUUCCUUUUGUGCAUGUCAAGCAACGUGGAUGAUGAAUCUUGUCGAAGAGAUAAAAACGAAGAGUCAUGGAGAAAUUACCCUGAAGAUCGACAAUAUAUCAUCUAUCAAUCUAACAAAUAAUCAGAUAGCACAUGGUCGAAGCAAACACAUCAAAAUGAGGUUCCAUUAUCUUCGAAAGCAGAUAGCAGAUGGGAAGAUGAAUUUGGAACACUGUAGAAUUGAGAAUCAGAUAACAAACAUCAUGAUGAAGGGAGUGCAGGUCGAAGUAUUCAGAAGACUAAGAGCUAUGAUGAAAGUAGAUAGCUUAGACACAAUGAAUUAGGUGGUGUGUUGAAUUGUAAUUCCUUGUGUCGAAGCAGGUUGCUCGAUAGAAGAAAGGAAGUGUCGAACCACCUAGUGUGUUGAGUUGUAUUAGUGUUCCGAGGUGUCAAAGCAUGUUGUUUUACACAGGAUUUCAACUUAGGCCUAUUUUUAGUAGUGUUAACUAUCUUGGGAUUUGGCUUAGGGAGCAAACUAACCUAAAUCUAUAAAUAGAGGGAGUAACCCUUAUUCUUGUAUGAAGAAAAGAAAGAACUCAUAACAUUCUAUUCACAGAAUUUUGCAGUUGCAAAGUGAAUAAAGAAGUUUUCCACAGGUUAUGGGCAGAGAGAAAACUUUGCAGAAAAUAUUAUUCUUCGCAGAAGUUUCUUUUCUUUCUUUCUCAAUUGUUUUUUUCUUUUCAUUAUCAUUGCAUGGUUGAUAAAAAUAUUGUUCAUCAAGAUUGAUAGAAAUUCUCUAUAGGUUGUGGUGGAUUUCCUACAGAGAUAGCUAACGUCGGAGUAGUCAAACUGGAAGGGUUGAUGCCAGGGCAAGCUACCUUUGCUGCUCAUCUCUAGGUCAAUGGUUGCGAAGUAUGACGACUGGACAUGCUACCGUAGCACCGCUAACGAUGGCUCAAAGUUUACAACAUUAACAUUCUUCGAGGGGAAUGAUGACAAGCAUUGAGGAGGUUGGUUAUGGUGGUUGAAUGGCUUUUAGAACAUGUGAUAACGCGCAUGAGAGUGUUAGAGAAUGAAGUUUUUUGGCUUCAUGGGUUGUAUAUGUUAUUGGAAUUGCAUUCUCCGUUCGGGGAUUUAAAGAGAGAAAAAACCCUAUAUAAUGUUAACUUGUGUCGAAAGGAACAUGUUAACCUACUAUAAUUAUACUCAUAAAAAUCAUAUUAUAAUUAUACUCAUAAAAAUUAGGAAUAUGUAACAACAAUCCAACCAUUUUGUAUGGGAAUUAGCAAAUUAUAAAUAGAAAAGUAUUAAGGGGAUUUUUUAAUGCACCCUAUGUAUUACUAAAGCACCACUUCAAAAUACAAAAAUAUCUCAAGAUUUCAGAGGAACAUUUUCAGACGCACCCUAAUGUAAGACCCCAAUUCAGACGCAAAUUGUUUUGGAAAAUAAAGGCUUUUUCAAAAAUAAGAACACACAGAAUUUUAUACUGGUUUGCUUAUAACACAAAGCUACUCCAGUCCACCCGGCCAAGGUGAUUUCGCCUUCAAAAACCACUAAUCUUGAAAGAUUAAUACAACCAAACGUCUAAAAGAGUGAUCUCUUAGUCCCAAGUAUACAGACUACGCAGAGUCACUUGAGGAACAAAAGCAAUUUAGCAAUAAUAGAUUUGUAAUCGAGAGUGCUUCUAAAGGUAAGCAAAUAUUACAGCAGAAUAAGCAAGUAAGUGUUUUCACAUAUGAGCAGAAACUCGUGAAAAACUGAGAGAGAAUGUAAAGAAUUUUUCUGUGCGUUGUUGUAUCUCUCACUGAAGUAUGUUGUCCUUUAUAUAAUGGUGAAAGGACCGUUGGAGUGAUGACAGAAUAUUGGCCUUUGAUGAGCAUUCAAUGUCAUUACUUCUGUGUUUCCUUCCAUAACCAAUUUGUCUCCCUGAAUAACUUCUUUCUAAAAAUAAUUUUUUUCCAUUUGAAAAAGUUCUUUCCGUUACUCUUUCUGGAUUUGGAGAAUCUUCAUCAGAGUCUUUGUUAUCUCAGAGUUUCUGUGUCAACCGGAGAUUGCGUUGAGGUUACGUCAGAGCUUCUAAGAGUACUGGUCUUUUAGAUCAUCAGAACUGAGUCCGGUGGAAGUUUAGAGCUUUUGGUAUUCUGCUGUCUUGUUUUGCUUAGAAUCAGAACUUCUAUAGCGCACUUCUUCUUCAGAUGCUUCUGAUCUUCUAGUAAUUUGUAUCUGAUCAGAUUUUGUAUCUGAUAAAUAGAUCAGAUUCCUUUGUAGUUGUUCAGAGUCCUGCACACUUAGAGAAUUUUCAUUAUGGUGCCAUUUUUGGUUCCAUCCUUUGUUAUCAUUAAAAUCCUGGAAUUAUAUUGUAGAACUAAUCUUGUUCUUACAAUCUCCCCUUUUUUGAUGAUGACAAAACAAUCUUACUUAAGAGAUGAAACAUUUAGAGAUAAGAAUUUAUCAGAUCAGAUAGAAGUGAACUCCCCCUGAGAUAAGCCUGGGAGUUCAGAAGUUCUUACCGGUGCUUCCAUGAUAUGAUGUUUCUAGAUACUCUUCUGCAAAUUUCUAAGUCAAAAAGGAAUAUGUUUUCAUCAGAGAUAUUUUUAUUUCUCCCCCUUUUUGUCAGAAUCAAAAAGACUUAGUAAAAUAAAGGAAAGGCAAAUAUAUAUAUAUAUUCAGAUAGAAAACACAAACAGCAGAAAGCAAGAACAAAUAUAAUCAGAAAGCAACAAGCAAAUCAGCAAAGGAAAAUCCUAGGUUCCUAAGGGUUUGGAGGUGGAGGCAUCCUCUGAAGCAGCUGGGUCAGCAGAUUCUGAAUGUUUAUGUUGACUGAAUCAUGUUGAUCCAAUCUAGCUCGGACUUCCUUCUGCUCCUUCUGAAGAUCUUCAAGAGUCUUGAGAACCAGAGGGACAAAGGUGGAAGACUCCCCCUGAGUCAGAGCAUCCGGUUCUACCCUGCUGGCAGAGCUCGGACUUCCUUCUGCUCCUUCUGAAGAUCUUCAAGAGUCUUGAGAACCAGAGGGACAAAGGUGGAAGACUCCCCCUGAGUCAGAGCAUCCGGUUCUACCCUGCUGGCAGAUUCUUCAGCACGACAAACUUCAGCUUCAGCAGCGGCUUUAGCUUCAGCUUCAGCAACAGCUUUUGCUUCAGCUUCCGUAGCAGCAGCGUCAGCUAGAGCUUUGGCUUCAGCUUCCUUAAGUCUUUGAAUUUCCUCUUUCCUUUCUUUUAUUUCUGCUUCCUUUCUGGCUUGCUCCUUGGCUUCUUUGGCUAAGCGCUCUUGUAGUCUUACUUCAGCAUCUCUGAUGAAGUCAUUUCUGACUUGCUCAGAGAGGCUCUUCAGUUUGAAGGCUUCAGAGGUCAUCCAGCCAAUAACUCUGUUCUAGUGUGUCCUAACAGCUGAAGGAUCAUCACUGAUGCCAGAUUUGAUGGUCAGAGACUUGACCUUGUCAACUGAGGCUCCUGCAAGCAACACUAUUGCUUCUUCUAGGGUUGGCAGGAUGUUUUGUGGUUCAGAGGGUGGAGGUGGAGAAGUGGGAUGGCUUAGGUUGAGAGUUUGUGGUUCAGCGGAUGUGUUUGGUGGGGGUGUGUCAGAGGUAAUUGGUUCAGAAGGUUGAAGGUCAGAUGGUGUUGGGUUUGGUUGUUCUGCGGGUGGUGAAGUGACUUCAGGUUCAGGUGGGGUUUGUGUUGGCUGUUGUGAGGCCAGAGUCUGAGCGUGAAGUUGGGCUAGGGUGGGAGAUGAGGGGUCAUAAUGUUUUGUGUCUGAUGAAACAUUGUAGUAGGGAGGUGAUUCUAGGGAAGAAGAUGAAGAGGUGGUUUCAUUCAGCAUUUCUGCGUCAGAUAAAGGUAAGGUGGUGGUGGCAAGGUUCAAUUUCUGGGAUGGUUGAUGAGAUGUUUUGGUGGUUGAAGGAGGGGUUUCUGAGUGAGUGUAGAUAGGUGUUGGUUGAGGGAUAGAAGAAGCAAUGGGUUGUGUUUGUGCAGAGGGAGCAAGAGAGACAGACUUACCAGAAGGCUCAUGCAGAGGUGUUGGAGGUCUAGAUCCGGAGGAUUCUCCUAGUCUUGCCUUCUUCGCUUGUCUCGCCUUUUCGAGGGUCCUCGUGGAUGUUUUAUGAAGUUUGGAGCCUUAUCUGGGAGAUCGCUUAGGUUGAAGUCUGAGAUAUCCACUCCUUCUUUCAUUAGAUUAUCCAGAUAGAAAAGGAUUACAUCUCGGGGGUCUUCCUUUGAGAACAGAUAGAGUCCAUGGGGAAUCUCCCUCUGAUCUUUUAGAGCUUCCCAGGAGGUGUCCAGAGUAGGUUUGAACUUGACCUGAUCCAGAAUCCCCAUGCUCUUCAGGUUUUUGGCGUUGAGAGGUUUUCCAGUGUCGAUCAUCACAUCUUCCAUGAGUCUGAGCUUUAACAGGUGGUCCACCAGGCGACUUUCAAUCAGAACGUCAGAGAUUAACCUUCCUAGAGGAAUGUAGUUUCUGGGCUUCAUGUGGUUUCUUGUAUCUCGUACAGAGUCUCUGAGAUACUUGAAAAGAAGUGCUGGAAGGCAGAGCUUCAGACCCUUGUGGAUGCAGUAGAGAAUGCACUUCUGGUCUGUGUUGAUGUAGUCUGAGGAUUUUGACGCUGGGCGAUGAUGGAUGGUACCCAAAAUGAUCUUCAGCCAGACACGGAGGUUCUGAUGUAGCUCCUUGUUCUUGGAGGGGUUUCCUUCUGCGUUUUGCUUGAAGAUUGUUGGGUUAAUCUCUUGGGACAUGUAUUUUUCCCUAGGAUUGAUGUUGUAGAUUCUUCUGCCUCCAUCCUUUUCCAUGCCCAGAAGAGUAGCAAUGGACUUCUCAGUUAUCACUAUCUUGACUCCCAGAACAUAGGAGACAAUGAAGUGAUCAUCAGCAUUAGCGAAUCUCCAGAAUUCCUUCAUAAGAUUUGUGUAAACUGGACCAUAUAGACAUUUGAAGUAGUUUCCCCAACCUUGAUUUCUGAGUUUAUCUGUGAGGUCAAUGCCAUUUCUACGCAUGUUGUCAAAAUCCACCAAGGAUUCACAUAAUACUUCCAGCUUCUCAAAUGGCGUUGCAAGGUUGAUGUGAGGCUCACGAUCAAGAAUGUGAGGCUCUUGUAGUGGAGUGUUGACUAAAACCGCGUAACCGCUGGGUUUGGGUUGCUUGAACUUGGAGCUUGUUUCGUUGAAUCCAUUUGUUGAGAGAAGUUGUACACAACUUAUUAUUGAGCAUUUCAUGAUAUGUUGAAAACUGGGAUGAAGAUGAGAAUGCUGCAGGAAUGCCUUGAGAGAGCUUGAGCUGCAGAGGUUUAAGAGUUGGCGUGAGAGUGAAAAGUGUGCAAUGUGUGAAAUGAUGUGUUUAAAUACCCAAAUUAGGGCGCAUGCAAAAUGACACAUAAAACAGAGUUUAACCACGAAAACCAAGUCAGCACGUUUAGGGGGAAAGAUUACAUCUCAUUAAUGAUGUCUAAUCCCAACAGCCAGUACACUGCUCGAGGAGAUCUCAAGAGACUGUUCCUUGAUUACUGCUAGACAGCUGUCUAGAAGUUCCAAGGUCAGACGCAAGGUACUCCACGUGUUUGCUUUAUCUGAUCUUCAGGAAUACCAAAGGAUUAGUUCCUGGAGAUUUCUAACUCAGAUAACUUCUAACUUGGUAGGAGUAUCAGAGUCAGAGGCAAAAUCCAUUGUGUUUACAUUAGAAUUUCAUUUUACAACUUCAGAGGCACAUAUUAUUCAGGGCAAUUUUGAAUGUUCAGAUUCUUUAGGAUGAAGAGGAAUCUAUCUUCAACUAAGGGUUUAGUAAAUAUGUCAGCCCAUUGAUGAUCGGUAUCAAUGCAUUUCAAUGUUACUACCCCUUUCUGAACAUAGUCUCUGAUAAAGUGAUGUUUUAUUUCUAUGUGCUUAGCUCUAGAAUGUAAAAUGGGAUUCUUGCUUAAACAAAUGGCAGCAGUAUUAUCACAAAAGAUAGGAAUGUUACUCUCAAAGAUUUGCAGAUCCUCUAACUGAUUCUUCAUCCAGAGCAUCUGAGUAGUGAACAGUGAUGCUGAGAUGUAUUCCGCUUCUGCAGUGGACAGGGCUAUGGUUGAUUGUCUUUUGCUGGCCCAGGAUAUCAGAUUGUUUCCCAAGAGCUGACAAUUUCCAGAUGUACUUUUUCGUUCCAUAAGUGGACAGGGCUAUGGUUGAUUGUCUUUUGCUGGCCCAGGAUAUCAGAUUGUUUCCCAAGAGCUGACAAUUUCCAGAUGUACUUUUUCGUUCCAUUCUGUCUCCUGCGUAAUCUGCAUCACAAAAAGCAGAUAGUAUAUACUCUGAUGUUUUCUCAUACAUCAGGCCCAGGUUAGGAGUUCCUUUCAGAUAUUUGAGAAUUCUCUUAACUGCUAUUAAGUGAGUUUCUCUAGGAUCUGAUUGGAAUCUGGCACAGAGACAAACAUUAAAUAUAAUGUCAGGGCGAGUAGCAGUCAGAUAGAGAAGGGAGCCUAUCAUACCACGAUAGAGCUUCUGACAAACCUUCUUACUGACUUCUUCUUUUUCAAGAAUGCGGGUGGGAUGCAUGGGUGUCUUUGCAGAAUUGCAUUCAGCCAUAUCAAAUUUCUUCAGAAUGUCUUUUAUGCAUUUGCUUUGAUGAACGUACGUGACUUCUGAAGUUUGAUUUAUUUGAAUUCCUAGAAAGAACUUUAGUUCUUGCAUUAAGCUCAUUUCAAAUUUUGCUUGCAUUAGCUCAGAGAAUUCUUGACAUACAGAGGCGUUAGCUGAACCAAAAAUGAUAUCAUCAACGUAUAUCUGGCAUAUCAUGAGAUCAUUAUUAAUAUUUUUAUAGAAGAGUGUGGAGUCAACUUUCCCUCUGAUAAAAUCAUGUUCCAGAAGAAAAUUACUUAAUCGUUCAUACCAAGCUCCGGGAGCUUGUUUAAGUCCAUAUAAAGAUUUCUUAAGUUUAAAAACAUGUUCUGGAUAAUUUGAAUUUUCAAAACCUGGAGGUUGAUUGACAUACACUUCUUCUGAUAUAUAACCAUUAAGGAAUGUGCUCUUGACAUCCAUUUGAUACAAUUUGAUAGAAUGAUUUAUAGCGAAUGAUACAAGUAAACGAAUAGAUUCUAACCUGGCGACUGAAGCAAAGGUUUCAUUGUAGUCAAUACCUUCUUGUUGACUGUAACCUUGAGCCACCAGUCGAGCUUUGUUUCUGACAACUUCUCCUUUCUCAUUCAUCUUGUUUCUGAACACCCAUCUGGUUCCGAUAACGUGAGUGCCUCUGGGCUUAGGAACAAGAUCCCAGACGUCGUUCUUUGUGAAUUGAUCUAGCUCUUCUUGCAUGGCUAGAACCCAGUCGCUAUCUUGAAGUGCCUCAUCACAGGAAGUAGGCUCGAUCUGAGAUACUAGUCCUAGAGGAGUUUCUUCAGAAGUCUUGAAGGUUGACCUAGUUCGGACAGGUUCGUCCUUAUUUCCCAGAAUCAACUCUUCAGAUAUGUUGAGGCGACUUUUAGCUUUCUUUGGGAUUACUGGGGAUUUAGUUCCUUCCGAAGUUUGAAUGGUAGUUGCUUCUGGGGCUUUAAUCUUCUCGUCAGAACCUGCAAGAGUGAUCUCCAGAUCUGCAAGUUUCUCAACUAGCUUUGACUUUUCAGGGUCAAGCUUAUCAUCAAAUCUGACAUGAAUUUGAUUCUUUCCAUAAUUUUGGUUUUUGUAUUUGUAUACUUUGUAGCCUUUAGAGUGUUCUGAGUAUCCUAACAUAAUACCUUUUUGUGCUUUAGAAUCAAACUUGUUCAAAUGUUCUUUAGUAUUAAAAUAAAACAGGAACAUCCAAAAGAUGAAAAUAUGAAAUGUUUGGUUUUUCUUCCUUUACACAGUUCAUAGGGAGUCUUCUCCAGAAUAGGUCUUAUGGAGAUUCUAUUCUGAAUGUAACACGCUGUAUUUACAGCUUCGGCCCAAAAGUGCUUAGCCACAUUUGUUUCAUUGAUCAUAGUUCUGGCCAUCUCUUGGAGUGUCAUAUCCUUCCUCUCUACAACUCCAUUUUGUUGUGGAGUUCUAGGGCAGGAGAAAUCAUGGGAUAUUCCAUUAGAGUCAAAUAAUUCCUCAAAAAAUUUAUUUUCAAAUUCCCCACCAUGAUCCCUUCUAACUCUGAUAAUUUUAGAGUUGAAUUCUUUUUGCACUUUGGAACCGAAGCUAGUGAAUACAGAGUGAGACUCACUCUUGUGCUUUAGGAAUUUUACCCAUGUCCAGCGACUGAAAUCAUCAACAAUGACUAGUCCAUACUUCUUUCCAUUGACUGAUGUUGUUUUCGCAGGACCAAAUAAAUCAAUGUGAAGAAGUUCCAGAGGCUUAGAGGUAGAAACAAUAUUUUUCUUUUUGAAAGAUGUUUUUGAAAAUUUUCCUUUUUGACAUGCUUCACACAGAGCAUCUGAAGAAAACUUCAGCUUAGGUAGGCCUCUGACUAACUCGAGUUUAUUUAGCUGACAUAAUUUUCUCAUGCUAAUGUGGCCCAAGCGUCUAUGCCAUACCCAUUGCUCUUCGUGAACAGACAUCAGACAUUUCACAUUUUGUUCUUUUAAAUCAGAAAGAUUUAUUUUAUAAAUGUUGUUUUUCCUCUUUCCAGUGAAUAGGACAGAACCAUUAUUUUGAUUUAUGGCUUUACAUGUUUUUUGAUUAAAGAUUACAUCAUAACCGUUAUCACUUAAUUGACUUAUUGAUAACAGAUUAUGCAUUAAUCCUUCUACAUUAACACAUCAGACUAUAGAGGGAAGAGUACACUUACAAUAGUUCCGGAGCCUCUGAUCCUCCUUUCUGAUCUCCCCGAAGCCUACUGAAUCCAGCAUCUUUAAGUCCAGGCUUUGGAACAUAGACUUCUUCCCGAAAUGUGUCAGCGAGCAUCCAGAGUCCAGGUACCAUUGUUUUAACUCUGCUGCAUAGGAUAUCUGCAACAUAAACAAUCUUAUCCUUUGGUACCCAGAGUCUUUUGGGUCCUUUGUGAUUAGUUUUCCCAGAGCUUCUUAACACUUUGGGUUUUCUAGCAUUAUUUAAUUUUUGCUCUUGUGUGUGUGUAUAGCGAUAUGAAAAUGGAGAUUUAGGUUGGUCAUGAGUAGAAGUUUUAUCUUCACUAGGAUCAUACCCAAUUCCUCUUCUAUUAUUCUGACUGACUCCAUAAAUCAUGGAUGCCAUUAUACUCCUCCCUAUCCCAUUUUUCAGAAACUUUUGAAAAGCUUUUUCAUAUUUAUAAAUUAUUGUGUUUGAUGUUUGUGGAGCUUGAGAUAACGCUUCUUCAAGUUUUGAGCAAUUUUUCUUUGUUGCAUCUCUUUCUAAUGUCAAAGUUUUGCUUUCAUCUUUUAGUUCUGAAAUGGUUAUCUCAAGUUUGCCACAUUCUUCUAAUGUUUCUUCAAGAACGCCUUUUAUAGCUUUAAAUUUUUGUUUUAGUUUCUGAUAUGAGCUGAGAGUUUCAGACAAACAUGAUUCUAGGUCAAAUCGAGAGAGUUCAGAAAAUACCUCUUCUGAUUCAGAUUCUUCAUCUGAAGUGUUCUUGGAUGUGGUAGCCGUGAGUGGCACAUUAGCCUGUUCAUCAGAGUCUGAUUCUGAUGAGUCAGAUUCACUGUCAUCCCAGGUAGCCAUCAGUCCCUUUUUGGUUCUGAGGGAAUUUUUCUUGAAGCUCUCUUUUCUGGAACUGUCUUUCUUUAACUUGGGACAUUCGUUCCUGUAGUGACCUAUUUCUUUACAUUCAUAACAAGUAACAUCUUUGUUAGUUUUACCUUUUGAGGUUGAGUUUGAUCGGUCCCCUCUGGGUCUUGGUCUCCUGAAGUUAUUAUUCCUCUUUCUCCAAAGUUGUUUUACUCUUCUGGUUAGGAGGGAUAAUUCUUCCUCAUCGUCAGAAUCUUCCAGUUCAGAGUCAUCAGCAUCUUCUGUUUCAACCUGGAAGGCUUUGUUUCUGUCAGACUUGCGCCUUUCAGAUCUGGACUUUAAUGCUACAAACUUGAUCUUCUUCUGAGGCUCAUCUUCCUCCAGUUCUAUCUCAUGACUUCUGAGUGAACUGACAAGCUCUUCAAGGCUGAUGUUGUUCAGAUCCUUUGAUAGCUUUAAGGCUGUACCUGGGUCUCCACUUCUUUGCAAGCUUCUGACUAUCUUUUGACAUGGUCUGCAGUUGUGUAUCCUUUGUCUAGCACUUUGAGACCUGCAAUAAGAGUUUGGAACUUAGAAAACAUUACUCUACAGCUCAUCAUCCUCCAUUUUGAAGCUCAUAUUUCUGGAUUAGAGCCAGAGCCUUGUUUCUUUGACCUGAGAGUUUCCUUCAUGAGUCAUUCCUCAGGGAGUCGAGUAUAUCUUUAGUUGUUUCCCUGUUGGUGAUUUUUUCAUACUCAUUGUAAGAUAUGGAAUUGAGAAGUAUCGUUCUGGCUUUGUGAUGAUUCUUGAAUUCGCGCUUCUGAUCAUCUGUCAUUUUACUUCUGGGAACAGCAACUCCAGCAUCUGUUACAGGAGGUUUGUAUCCAUCUGUGACAAUGUCCCAGAGAUCAGCGUCAUAGCCCAGAAAGAAACUUUCAAUUCUAUCUUUCCAAUAAUCGAAUUUCUCUCCAUCAAAGACUGGAGGCUUAUCAUUCUAACUGUCUCUUUCAUUGGUGUGGGCCAUAGUUUUUCUUGUUCUGGAUCUCUCUACACGGUUAAGUGUUUGAUUUAAAAAUCAAUAAUAGAGCCGAAGCUCUGAUACCAACUGAAGGUGAGAAAAACUAGAAAGGGGGGUUUGAAUUGUUUUGGAAAAUAAAGGCUUUUUCAAAAAUAAGAACACACAGAAUUUUAUACUGGUUUGCUUAUAACACAAAGCUACUCCAGUCCACCCGGCCAAGGUGAUUUCGCCUUCAAAAAGGACUUAAUCCACUAAUCUUGAAAGAUUAAUACAACCAAACGUCUAAGAGAGUGAUCUCUUAGUCCUCCCAAGUAUACAGACUACGCAGAGUUACUUGAGGAACAAAAGCAAUUUAGCAAUAAUAGAUUUGUAAUCGAGAGUGCUUCUAAAGGUAAGCAAAUAUUACAGCAGAAUAAGCAAGUAAGUGUUUUCACGUAUGAGCAGCAGCUCGUGAAAAACUGAGAGAGAAUGUAAAGAAUUUUUUUGUGUGUUGUUGUAUCUCUCACUGAAGUAUGUUGUCCUUUAUAUAGUGGUGAAAGGACCGUUGGAGUGAUGACAGAAUAUUGGCCUUUGAUGAGCAUUCAAUGUCAUUACUUCUGUGUUUCUUUCCAUAACCAAUUUGUCUCCCUGAAUAACUUCUUUCUAAAAAUACUUUCUUUCCAUUUGAAGAAGUUCUUUCCGUUACUCUUUCUGGAUUUGGAGAAUCUUCAUUAGAGUCUUUGUUAUCUCAGAGUUUCUGUGUCAACCAGAGAUUGCAUUGAGGUUACGUCAGAGCUUCUAAGAGUACUGGUCUUUUAGAUCAUCAGAACUGAGUCCGGUGGAAGUUUAGAGCUUCUGGUAUUCUGCUAUCAUGUUUUGCUCAGAAUCAGAACUUCUAGAGCGCACUUCUUCUUCAGAUGCUUCUGAUCUUCUAGUACUUUGUAUCUGAUCAGAGUUUGUAUCUGAUAAAUAGAUCAGAUUCCUUUGUAGCUGUUCAGAGUCCUGCACACUUAGAGAAUUUUCGUUAGGGUGCCAUUUUUGGUUUCAUCCUUUGUUAUCAUCAAAAUCCUGGAAUUAUAUUGUAGAACUAAUCUUGUUCUUACAAGAUCCCUCAUGUUAUCUCAUCAUUUGCAUUGGCUUUGGGAUCACACCUUGGCCUCCUCCUUACCCCUCAUUCAUUAGGAUUUUAUUGGGAGAGAUCACCAAGCACAUUUGAUUGUAUAAUACUUUAUUCUCUUUUGUUUACUAACCAAAACACCAAAAAUACGUCCUUGUAUAGCUUUGUUUCUUUUUUAGGUAGUGUGUGCAUCCACAUAUGCCCUAUCAAGCUCACAAGUAGGGUUUGAGACCCUCAUAGCAAGAGAUCAAUCAUGGGAUGUUUCACCAUUGGUUAUAAACAUCAUAUAUGGAUCCCCAUGUUCUUCAUUUAUCAUUUUGAUCAAGUAUUCAUCAAGAGUUUGAAGCUUGUUUGCCUUUGAAGCCCUAAUUCAUCUGGGUAUCUUGUGUGACUUCCUUAGCAAGUUUCUUCAACAAUUGUUCAAAUGUAUCAAGGGAUACUUCAUUAUACAUCCUCUUAUGCAUAUAUGAUCCUCCAUGAACUCUAAAUAUCAAUAGAACUUCAAGUUUGCAAAUUGGUUCAAAGAGGUUGACCAGAGAAAGUCAACUGGUCAAAACAGGGGUUCCAUAGACCCUAUCACCUACAAUUUUUGUCAUAUGAAAAUGAUUCCAAGAGCAAAUUUACUCUUUAUGACAUUCCAAAAAAUUUAAUGUUGGAAUCAAGAGGUGGUUUUUCUUGGAAAGUCAUAUUUUAUGGUGAAAUAUUAUAGGUCAUUUUGUAUGUGCCCUAGUUAGGAGGUCAACUUUCAAGGACCAUAACUUGCUCAAUAUUUAUGACAUGAAGGCAGUAAAAGUUUCAUGAUCAAUUACAAGAUGUAUUCUCCAACUUUUAUUAUUUGAUAAAUUCCAAAAUCUACUUGCAAGGGCAUGUUCCAAGAGGAAACAUUAUAGGUCAUUUUGGGCCAUUACCAUUGAACAAGCAUUUUUCCUCUACUUCUAAAAUGCAUAACUCCAUCAUGCCAAAUCCAAAUUAUGUCAAAUUUGAUACCAAAUUUAAGAGGAAUGAAAGUUCUAAAACUUUGGUGAAGAACCCAUUUUCAUUUGGAGCUCAUAGCAAAAGUUACUCAAGGUGGAAGAAGUGGUCAUUUGACUUUGUACUUAGAAAAUUUUCAACUAUGUUUGAUUUCUCCCACUUACACCUCAAAAUUCAUCACGAUCAAGAUCCAAAUGGAAAGGUGUUCAACAUCAAAGUUGUUCCCCUUGAUGUCUCCUUUUCAAAAAGUCCAAGAUCAUGGCAUUUGGAGCAUUUUACAACGACUUACGCAUGGUUAACUUUCAUGGUCCCAUUUGGAUGAAUCACAUGACCAUUCUCAAGUACAAUUGCAUGACCUCAUGUUAAGCUUUCAGCAUCAUUCAUGCACAUUUGUGGACCUUUUCCAAUCAUUUUAUGGGCUUAUCACACACCCAUGCAAGCAUGCACUAAUAUUUCUAUUUUUGACCAAUUUUGGGAAGUGUGUGAAAAGCAAUGCAAAACCCUAUAAAUACAUUGCUCUUAUGAUCAGAAUGAAGAGCCUCAUUACCCAAGCUUCAAAUUGCAUCUUCCCAAACCUCCAUUGAUAGGAUAACCUUAAAGAUUUCCCUUGAAAUCGAGCUUCAAUUCCACUUUUUCUUAGGAUUGAAACUCCGAGGGUCCAAGCCUUUUGAUCAUCCAUUUCAUCUCCUACAAGCAAGUAGAAGCAAGCCAAAGCCAAUUGAGAUCCAAAUCGAGCUUCAUCACUGCAAACAAAAGGUGAAUUUUGUGAAACUUUCUCUAUUCGAUUAUCUCUCAAUUCUACAUUAUUUCAAGUAAUUUUUGGUUGGUUGAAGUCCUAUCAAUGUAGGCAACAAGAUUGAGUUGCUUUGAGGUUAAAUCGAAGUAACUCAGAUCAUGCACCUCAAACUUCAAGUCAACAUAUCUUUCAAUAUACUUGGAAUUAGGUGAAAUUGAGGACAUAUUCGAGCUCCUGAGCAUUUUUUCUUUAAAAUAGUGUAUUCACGUUUUAUUUUAAUGGUGGUUGGUGGUGGACCAGUCCGGUGAGGUCCACCAGAGAAUAUGACCGGAGCUAGGGCUCCGGUGGUGUGUUAGCAUCUUCCCAACCAUUUGAUCAUGUUCAAACAUUUUAAUCCUGGCCUUCGCUUCUAAUUACCACGUGUGUACACGUGUUGACUGUGGUACCUGAUGGAGCGCACGUUGUGGCCAUCAGAUCAGCCACCUCAAUUAAUGAGGGAGAUCUGAUGGCCCUCGUUUUUUCUCAUUUUAUUUUAAUUCUUAUUUUCUGUUUAAUUCCUUUAUUUUUUUUAAUUCAUAAUAAUUUCAUUUUUAAUCCAAAAAAUAUGGGAUCUUCACCAAAAAUAUUUAAAUAUUUUGCUCUUCCAUAUUUUGAAUUAAAAUUAUUUUUUGGAUUAAUUUUGAUAUUUUUCAUGAAUGAAAUGAUUUUGUACAUAUUUUUAAUUGUUUUAAAAUAGUUCUGACAUUCCAAAAAUAUUGAAAUUUUUUGUCUAAGGUCUUUUGACCUUGUUUGACCUAUGACAAAUCCAUUGAUCAUUUAUUUGGUGUUUUGAAGGGAUUUGAGGUUUUGUCCAUAUUAAAAUGGAUUUUAAUUCACUUUUAAUUUGAUUUUUAAUUGAUUAAGUGUUUAAAAAUUAUGUUGAGCCAUUUUAAUGGUCUUGUGAUGUUUGACUUUCUGUUUGGGCCUUGGUCAUGGUUGAUUUGACUUUUAUUUGAUCAAAACCAUUGGAUUUAGGGAAUUGAUGAAAUGUACAUUUCAUCUCCCAAAAUGAAUGGGUGGUAUUAAUCAGAUGAAAUUCCUCUCAUGAUCAACUUGUGUUUCUAUUUCCCCUCCCUCUUCAUCUUCAUCCCUAUUCUUUCCCAAUCCUUCAUUUGACCAAUGAUUUCUCUAAUGUCUAAAUGCUAGUUGGUUCAUCAAUAACCCUGUGUCAGAUGAAUCAACAUGAGCCACACUGAGAUAGGUCAUCCCCCCAUUUCUUUUAGUGUGUGGUAUGUUUUAGGAAUUUGGUUCUUUGUACCAAAUCUCUAACAUGCAUUAACACCUAUAUUUUUAUUGCCCGACCUCAGAUAGUUGUGACAUCUACAUAAGUCCAAUUACGAUUGCUUAAUAUAGAGCUAAAUUUGAUCAAGAAGGAAUAGCAUUCUAGUAAGUGAGAUUAUAAGUCUCUCAAUCUUCAUGGCAUUGUGUGGAUACUUGACCUUUUUCCCUUUCAUGAGAGUUAGUGGCAUACUUGUUGAUUUAUCCAAGUUGGAUCCCUUCGCAUGGAUGAUGACUUGGUCUAAGGAUUCAUACUUUUGAAUGAAUGAUUGAGUGUUCUCCAAAAAAUGACUUAAUCAAUUAAAACUCAUCACUAACAUUUUGACUAACCAUUGACUAACUUCUUAAUUAACUUUGCUUUACUUUCAUGUCAUUUACUUUAUGCAAUUUAAAAUUCAGUACCUUUAUCAUCCAUUGCCAUUUACAUUUCAUGCAACUUGUUUAUGUUUCAAGUCCUUUUCACUUUGCUCAUUUGAGCCAAUAUCUGGUAAUUGUAUGUAUUGUUUGUUUGUUUUGAAAUUUUUUGUGGUCUUAGGACCUUAAAACACCUAAUAACAACAAAAACCCUAAAAAAAAUCUGGUUGUACUGUUGGGAUUUGAUCUGAACUUCUGGACUUAGAAUUAGACAACGUUCCCUGUGCUAAAGGACUUGACCAAUGCCAAUAUUUGAGACUGGCUAUCUCUGCUUGUGCCUUCUCCUGAUGCAAGACCUUGAGUGUCCUUGAUUCAUCUGUUAAUCUGCCUUUGUGCUUAAUUGUUAUUUUUUUAUUAUUGUCUAUGUCUGAUGUUUUGUUAUGAGUUGAUCAAAAAAUAUUUCAUCUGAUAGAUUGGAAGACACUAAAGACUGCUAGCUAUUGGAAUGUUUGCUUGGAUAUAAUGGCUACAUUUAUUUGAUGCCUUGGUCUUCAUAUGAUGCUUGGAUAUUUUUCAUUGCUUAUUGCUUAUUGCUUGUCAAAGUCCAAAGCAAAUGGUUUCUAUAUGACAUUCUUGUUUGUUGGAUUGCAUCCCAUUGGUCAGACCUUUCAACCCUUAACUUUCAAAAAAAUUACUAGGAUAGUUUCUUCAUCUCCUCCCACUUCUUUAAUUUCAAAAUCUCUCCCUCUUUUCAAAAACUUUCUUUGCUUGUGAUUUCAAACUUAGACGUGUUUUAGUAAUUAGAAAUUUUGGCCUUAUGCCAUUGAAUUUUCAAACUUUUUCUUAAAUCAAAAUUGUAAAUAAAUUUAACCAUAUUGACUUAAAUUUCAAAAAGACAAAAAGAACUAAAAACCUCAUUCAAGUCUUUGGCCUAUUGUGCCUUUUUCUUUUAAAACUUUUGAUUAAAAUCAAUUCACCAACUUCUUUGAAAUUUUUAUCACGAACUUCAGGGUUUUGAUCCCUCAUUUUUAUGUUGGUACGUAGGCAUAAGACCGAAGGUCUUGUCAAACACAAAAAAAUAUAAUUAGUGAACUCUUUUCUCAUAUCCCCACUCUAUAUUUUUUUCAAACAUCAUUCAUACCCAAAAAACAUAUGCACAAAAAAAGGCCUCCCUAUGAGUACCUAGGACACUUUGGAUGUUAACACAUUCCCUCUGUGUAACCAACCCCAUUUCUUAUAAUCUCUAGUAUUUUAUUAGUUUUGAUUUGAAAAUUUCUUAUCUUUGGGUUUUGUUCGUACUUUUCCCUUUUCCUUUGGAAACAAUAAAAGCACGGUGGCGACUCUGGUUCUAUUGACGCCAAGUUUAUCCAUAGCUUGAUGGUCACGAAUUUACCGCUACAUAAAUUAAGUGGCGACUCUGCUGGGGAAUAGUCCUUAGUGGGUUUAGCCUACUUUUUAUGUGUCUGUGUGUGUAUGAUUAUUAUAUAUAUAUAUAUAUAUAUAUAUAAAUAUAUAUGUAUAUUUGAUGUUUGUUUGUAUAUAUUGUUGUGCGAUAUAUUUUGUCUGUUGUGCUUGGUGAUCUCUGUGUGGUGAGAUAAGUUAUAACCCGAACUUGAGUGCAAUCUAAGAUAGGAGGGUGGUAUAGUCAUGUUGGCUUUGAAGGAGUAGUCCUGAAAAAGUUGACAUGAGAUCCCCCACUCAGUGGAGACCUCUUUAGAGUUACUAAUGUCACACAAGUAAUUUGUGUAUAGGAAUUAAUUUCUCUAAUUUGGGGGUCCGAGAAUCUGAGGACUGUAGAACAUUUAACCCAACUUGGCCUAUUUAGGAAGUAGUGUGGAGAUUAUUCAAGUGUAGACUUGAUAAUAGUUGUUACACGAUACUACAUUCAGGCGAGUUUCUCUUGAUAAUAUUAUGGUUAAUGAGUCAGCCAUCCUAACCUAUAAUAUCUGAUAGAUGGGAUCACGACUCUAGGAACUUUUUAGAACAUUCUCUACAGGUUUUUAUCCUUAGUACACUCUUUUGGGAUGAACCUUAACCUGACUCCAUGCCCGUGACUCGCAAUAAACCCUUUAAUUCUCGGUUGAUCCGAUCAGUCUCAUCAAUAUCGAGGAAACUUAGGUGUUGAUAAGGUGAAAGCCAUAAUCCACAAAAAUGGAUGAUUGAUCUUGAUGAUGACCUAAUCCAUCCCUUGACAUUUGUUUGUGUUUGCCUUGUGUGUGAUCUCUUGUGUGUGACUGUUGCUUUCAUGCAUACAUGCGCAUCAUAACAUUCAUCACAGAAGAAAUAAAUUUCAAGGAGACUAAGGUCUUAUUUGCAAAUAUUUUCAGACCAUGGAUUAUGGACGAAGGAGCACUAAGAAGUACAGUUUCAAACGUCCUGAUUUGAAAGAGCUAAGGAAGUUGUCAUCCUUUGUAUUAGAUCCCUUGGUUUUCAAGCAACGUCAUGGGAAGCUCUUGUCUGUGUUAUCUACUGAUGUGGUUGAAGGACUUCUGAGUGUUUUAGUUCAAUUCUAUGACAUUCUUUAUCACUGCUUCGCUUUUCCCGACUAUCAGCUUGUGCCCGCGUUGGAGGAGUAUGCACAUCUCUUGGGUAUACCUGUAUCUGACAAGGUGCCUUUCAGUGGAUUGGAGUAGAUUCCUAUAUCUCAUGUCAUAUCUGAAUCUCUUCAUUUAAAGAAAUCUGAGAUUGAUGCUCAUUUGGUGGAAAAAAGAGGUAUUCUUGGGUUGACUUCUGAGUUCCUCAUUGGUAAAGCUACUGUCUUUGCUCAGGCCGGUAACAUAGAUACUUUUGAAGUCAUCUUUGUAUUGCUCAUCUAUGGUUUAGUUCUGUUCCCUAACAUUGACGGUUUCAUUGAUGUUAACUGUAAGACCCCAAUUUUGACCCUAAGAUCCCUCAUGUAAUUCCAUCAUAAGCAUUAGCAUUGGGAUCAUACCUUGGCAUCCUCCUUAUCCCUUUUCAUUGGGUUUGUUUUGGGAGAGAUCACCAACCACUUUAUGAUUAUAUCAUACUUGUAUUUUAUCAUUUCACUAACCAAAAUACCAAAAAUAUGUCUUUGUAUUUGUCUAACUCUUUUGUAGGUAGGGCAUGAUCUCAUUGAUUCAUCAAGAUCACAUAUAGGGUUUGAGACCCUCACGAACAAAGAGCACAACCAAGAAUUGAUUCAAUAAUGGUUAUGAACAUCAUAUAUGAGUCCCGAUGUUCUCUACAUGUUAUAUUGAUCAAGUUUUCUUCAAGAAUUUGAGGGUGAUUUACCUUGGAAACCCUAGUUUGACUGUGUAUCUUGAGUAACUUCUCCAACAAGCUAUCUCACCAAUUGAUCAAAUUUCUUAAGGGAUACUUCAAAAUUCAUCAUCUUAUGCAUAUAUGAUCUACCAUUAUCCAAGAAAGUCAAGAGAAUUGGAAGUUAGCAAGUUGGUUGAUGGUGGUUGGCUAGAUGGAUUCAUCUAGAAAAAAAACUGGGUCUCCCUAGACCCUAUCUCCUAUAAUUUUCACCAUAUGAAAAUGAUCCCAAGAGACAAAUUACUCUAAAUGACAUUAUAAACAACUUUCAUGUUGAUACAUAGAGCUAGUUUUUCUUGGAAAAUCAUUUUCUAUGUUGAAACAUUAUAGGUCAUUUUGUCUAAACCCUAAUUUGAAAGUCAACUUCCCAAGGCCAUAACUUGCUCAAAUUUUUAUGAGAUGAAAGAUUUCCAAGUUGCACAAUCAAAUUAAAUGUGUCUACUUAAACUUAUGUUUGGAGUGGGAGCUAAUUCAAAUUUUUUAAGCAUUGUGAAAUAUGAGGUUACAUUAUAGGUCACUUUUGACCUAUACCAUUGAUCAAGUGAUUUUUCCAAACUUCAAAAAUGCAUAACUUUAUCAUUUCAAAUCCAAAUGACAUGAAAUUGGUGACCAUUUUGAAUGUAUUUAAGAGAGCCAUAACUUUGUUGAAGACACGUUUGUCAUUUGAAGCUCAUAUAAAAUGUUAAGCAAGGUGGAAUAUUGAGACAUAUGGCUUGACACUUAGAAAAAAAUUGAUAUGUCAAAAAUUUCCAAACUUCCACCUCAAAUUUCUCCAAGAUCCAUGCUCCAAAUGAAAAAGUGUUGAACAUGAAAGUUGUUCCUCUUGAUCUCACCUUUCCAAAGAUCUCAAAUUCAUUCAUUUUGGACAAGAAAUGCAUAGGCUGCACAUGGCUUAAACAGGGUGACAUCACUUGGCAAGGAUAAAGCUUCAAACAUCAAUGUGCAUUUGCCUUGCAAUCCAAGCUUAAUUCAGAGCAUCUGAUAUUCAUUUGUGGACCUCAAACCAUCAUUUCAUGGGUUUGUGUGCACCCAUGCCCACUUGCAUCACCAUUUGCCAAAAUUGGAAGGUGAAUUUGAAGGUGCCAUUAUCAACCAUUUCAGCUAUAAAUAGAGCUUCAAUUGCUCAAAAAUUAACAUACAUUGGCGCCAGCUUUGAUCCCCCAUUUCAAACCCUCACUUUGCAAAGGAUAAGCCUGAAAAAUUCCCUUGAAUUUGAGGUUGAAUCUCCACUAUUUUGGAAUUCAAUUCUCCAGGAAUCCAUAGCUUUUUAACCAUUCAAUCCUUGUCCUGCAAGCAAGUGGAGUGAGACUAAGCACAAGAAAGAUCAAGAUCCAUUGAAUCCAAACCUACAUUGAAGGUAUUUUCCAGAAAUUUUGAACUCUUCGAUUCUCUCAAAUUCUUGCUCAAUUCAAUUGAUUCUUUGGUUGUCUGAAGUCCUACCAAUGUAGGAAAGAAGAUUGAGUUGCUUUGAGGCCAAAUCGAAGCAACUCAGUUCAUGUACCUCAAAUUUCAACUCCACGUAUCUCUCAAUAUACUUGGAGUUGAAGUGAAUGGAGGUCAGAUUCGAGCUCAGUGCCACUUUUUCUUUAAGAUCAUGUCCUUGUUUUUGAUUUUGGUGACGGUUCAUGGUGGACCAGUCCGGUGAGGUCCAUCGGAGAAGAUGACCGGAGCUCUAGCUCCGGAGAUAAGUUGGCAAAGCUCUGAACCACAUGAUCCGUUCCUUUUGUUUUAAUCCUGAUUGUUGGUUUUAAUUACCACCUAUGCAGCGUUGUUGACUCAAGUCCAUGUGGAACGCGCGCUAGGGACCAUCUAAUCUGCCACCUCAAUUAAUGAGGGAGAUCAGAUGGUCCACGUCUUUUUGAAUUUCUAAAUUUUUAUUUUAAUUGCAUUAUUUUCAAUAAUUCAUAUUAAAUUCAAUAUUGAUCCAAAAAAUAUGGGACUUUCAUCAAAAAAUUUCAAAUAUUUUUCUCUUUCAUAUUCUGAAUUAAAAUUAUUUUUUGGAUCAUUAUUAAUAUUUUUCAUGAAUUAAUUAAUUUUGCAUUUGUUUUUAAUUGUUUAAAAAUAUUUUUAAAUGUCCAAAAAAAUAUUCUGAAUUAAAAUUAUUUUUUGGAUCAUUAUUAAUAUUUUUCAUGAAUUAAUUAAUUUUGCAUUUGUUUUUAAUUGUUUAAAAAUAUUUUUAAAUGUCCAAAAAUUAUGAAAUUUUUUCUCCAGGAUCCUUUGACCUUGUUAGACCUAUGAUAAAUAUCAUGGCCAUUUCUUUGGUGUCUUGAUGAGAUUUUAGGAUUUGGACAAACCAUAUUUGAUUUAAAUGCAUUAUUUUAUUAUUUAUAAUUGAAUAAAUGCCAAUUAUUUUUGUUCACUACUUGUAUUGACUUGUUUGAGUUUGAUUAUUGUUGUUGGGCCUUGGUCAAGGUUGAUUUGACUUUGUCAAACUAAUAUCAUUGGAUUUAGGGGAUUGAUGGAAUGUACAUUCCAUCUCCCAAAAUGAAUGGAUGAUAUUAAUUUGGUAAAUGUCCUCCUUUGACCAAUUUGUGAUUUCAUUCUUUCCCCUCCCACUUCAUCUCAUUCCCCUUCUUCAUUCAUUCACUCUAUUUGGCCUAUGACAUCUCAAAAUCCUAAUGCUAGUUGAUUGAAAAAUUAACAUGAGUAUGGAUGAGAUUAGGUCACACCUUUUGCAUAUUUUUUGUGUGUGGUAUGUUUCAUGAGAAUAGUCCAUUAUACUAUGUCUCUAACAUGCAUUAACACCAAAAUUCUAUUGCCCGGUCUCAAAUAGUUGUGACUUCUACAUAAUUCUAAU